This 58167-nucleotide long non-coding RNA is filed under the name Ananas comosus (pineapple). RNAcentral describes it as "long non-coding RNA (ACOM_LNC033270)". The record is from RNAcentral. Lineage: Eukaryota; Viridiplantae; Streptophyta; Magnoliopsida; Poales; Bromeliaceae.
GAAACACACUUACAACAGGAUAAGAUUUAGCAAAACAAACAACAAGGACAUUUCACUUUUAGACAGGCGACUUCCCUCAAAACAAACAACUAACAGUAGAUAUUGACUUGAGAAAAAAUUAAUUGCACUUGAGUUACACCCACAUUCGAGCUUCAUCAAUCCAAACAUUCCCUUAUUGAUGUCAACUUCCCAAACUCUGUAAACACGCAUCCGCUUUACAGUGGAAUUUAAACUCAGUAUGAAAACAGGAAUAUAUACAAACUAGCAGGUAUCCUGAUAGUGUUCUCAAAAGAAGAAAGCUCAAAAGCAAUCAAGGGCGUUGAGAUCAAGGAAUCUUUUAAUUAUACUAUUUGACACAUUCUCCAAGACCCACGUGGCAUACCUCUCCGUUCUCCAUUCCACGUGGCGACAGACCUCUUAUCCAACUCUACAACUGACUCUCUCUCUCUCUCUCUCUCUCUCUCUUUUCCCUACUCUUCUAAGGCUGUCUCUCUCUCUUCAACUACCACACUUUCUCUCUCUCUCUCUUCCCUCCCCCAUCAGGCGGUGCUCCUCUCUUUCUCUCUUCCCCUCUCUCUCUUUCUCUCUUUCUCUCUUUCUUUGUCUUUCUCUCUCUUCCUCUCUCUCUAUUUCUCUCUUUCUCUCUCUACAAAAUUCAUGUCAUCCCACUCAUACCCCCUCCAAAGCUCUAUAAAUAGCUCAGAGUAGACGAUCGGAGGGGCGGGCGGUGCGAGAGCGGAUCGUUCACACCCAGUUGCACAUUACAUUAAAAAAAAUAAAAAAAUAAAAAAAAGUGAAGAAGAAGGAGAUGGGAGCUAUAUAUAUAUAUAUAUGAAGAGAUAAAUUACAUCAAUAUAAAUAUUUUAUAUUGAUGUAUGGGCGGAAUUAUCUCUGAGGGUUUUUCAUGUGUAUAUAUACCUAUAUAUAUGAUUGAGAGCGGUUUGUUAUAUAUAAUUUGUUCAAGAGUAAUAUUUUAAUUCUUCUUUUUAUUAGUUUCAUCCACUUCAUUUUUUUCUUUUAUCGCUGGGUGUUGAAAGAGUCUCCGUCAACCUCUUUCGCCAUUCGUGCUCGUAGGAGGAAUUCCGGUCGUGCCUUGCGUUGUUUCAAUUAAUCCCCAUGAAAGGACGGAAUAGUCUUAGGAUAGUGACUCGCACGCUUCCGGAAAGAUCAAAUCUUUAUUUGGAUUUUAGCGUUUAUCAGUAAGGUGCUGUUUUAUUUAUUUCUAUCACAAAACUAGUUUAGUAUUCUAAUCACAAUUGGAUUUUUCAUUGCGGGUUUUCCCCAACAAUACCGGUAUUGAAGCAAAAUCUGUAAAAAUAGAGGGAAAAAACUCUGCUCCAAAGCUCGAAAAUUCUGAAAACGGAGAGAGUUGGUUCCACUUCCUCAAGCACGACAGUCUUUAUUCUUUUUUUUUCUUUUUCCUCUCCAUUGGGCAUCUCUGCAAGGUCCCACUUUGCCAUCUCUCUCCUCUCCCCCUCCUCCUCCCCAGUCAAGUUGUACCCUUUCUCUUUUCCUGCUCCAUCCUCAGCCUUCUCAUUGUCUUCCUCAUCUUCGCGUUGCCCAAGAAAUUUGACGGCCUGCGCCACCUGCUUCAAUGAUGCAGUGAAGGUAGUUUGCGCCCUCCUAGUCUCUAGAGUCCAUAAACUCUUGCGUUGACUGGGCCUGGCUCACGUGAUGACCUUUGCCUCUUUGGUCUCACCGGGUGUCAUCUGUAGACUAUUCUUGAAAAGAUCUUUUCAUUUGUAGCUUUUUCUCUUUCUCAAUUCCGUCACAUCCCUUUUUCGUUAGGGUGACGUUUCUUUGCCCUGUUCGAAUUGAACACGGAUGUGCCAUCAGAUUGACGGUGAGGACAUGUGCUCAAUGCAGAAAAAAUAGAAUGUACAUGUUGAUCCAAACAUUAUCAUAGUAAGUUUUCUAUGUUCUCUUGAGAUGCAUCAAUCUAAUGAAUCUUUUUUUUUUUUAACUCUCGGCGAUCUUUUACUAGGCAUCCAAAUAGGCCCUUAGCUUGUAACAUUUUUUUAGCAUCUAUGUUUUUUUUCGAAGAAAAUGCCUUAAUGCAACCAACUGAUUGCAUUGCAAGCAGCAAUUACAACAAGAGUAGAUUAGAGCUACUGGCACAUCCUAAUCACAAAAGAAUUUAAUGGUUACAAAAAACAAAAAGGAAAAAGGCUACACUACUAGGCGAAGGCCUUACUUCUUAUUUUACAAUAUUGUUUCGUUUAUAAACGAAAAAAAUGAUUAUAAGUAUCAGCGAGGCUUGUAUCUUGUUUUACUUAGUUUCGUUAUUACGGUCAUUAUUAAGGUUCAUCAAGCAUUGUUUUUUGGACAAGUAUUCUUGAUUUUUUUGUUUUAUAUUUAUGAAUACAUCAAACUAGGUGAAGAGAAUAUAUAUCCCAUUACCGGAUGCAAGUGUACGAAGGCUACUUCUGAAAAAGCAACUUAAAGGACAAGCAUUUUCAUUGCCCAGUAAGUAGCAGAGUUCACUGGUCAUUUCUUUUGCGAUGAAAUUUUACUGCUUUGAGUGAGAACUACUAAUACUCAUGCCACAGUUUCACUUAGAAUUGCUUUUUUUGUCUUGUCUUUCCAUUGUUUGUAUUCUAAAAAUGGAUGUACUUUUUUCAAACUGUUAUUCUUGCCAUCGGCAUUUUCCAUUGAUACAAUGUUGGCUACAAGCGUAUAACAGUUCUAAUUGAUCAGAGGGCUUCGUACAAACAAGGCUUUGGAAGUGUUUGCCGAUGUUUGCGAACAUGUAUGUAAAGUUGUAAACACGCAUGAAAGUGGGUGAGCAUGAAAGGCACCCACGGACACAGUUGUGAUCCUUUUAUGUGGAUUAUUCACUGAUUCAGCAUUCUUUCAUCGUUCAUUAUGAAAUCUGCAUAGAGGACAGUUAAAACCGUUUAAAUAUCUUGUCUGAAAUUAUACUUGUCAAUGCUUUCUGCUAACUUUCUGUGAACUUUGUUGUUUGUUUUUUUUUUAAAUUUUGGUUUAUUGCGCAUUAUUUCUCCAUGAAGCCCUCUUUACCUGGUUGAAGAGCAUUAGGUACUUGGUUUUGUCUGAAAUAGUCUUUCGUGAAGAAAGGAUGAGAUAGACCUAUUAUGUUAGGGUUGAAAGUUCUCAAAGACAUCCUUGUGAUAUUUUAAACGGCCAGUGAGAGGAAUUAAUCCUGGAAGUAUUUGUAAGUUAACCUCAAAAUAUUGCAUGCAUGUACAUGUUUAGUGUUCGGAGAAAUACCAAAAUAAUGCGAUGUAGCCGGUGUUCUAUCAGGGAGUUUUGAGCGUUUUGAAAAUGAUAUAAAAAUCAAUUUUUCAAGAAACCAGCAUUUGAGACACUUCUCAUUUUGGAUUGCUUUUGUUUCAUUGCUGCUAAAGGAAAAAUGUGUGAAGAAAAUCUCAAUAAUAUAAAUAGCCAUUUGUUUCAGUCAGUUAUGUUGUAUUGUUGCUGAAUGAAAUGGAGCAGUGUAUCUCACAUGACAAGCAUUCAGAUUUCAAACCUUUGUUAGAACAUGAGCUUUUUUAGAUGCUAGAAUCAUCCUCUCAUGGAAGAACUCUCUCUUACAGGCAGUGAUAUGGAAAGACUUGUCACGGAGACCGAAGGUAGUAUAUUCUACAGUACAUUACUGAUCUAUCGAUUAACCUUUUUAAAGUGCUUUUCAAUCGAACUGUUUGUAUGAUUAGGAUACUCGGGAAGUGAUUUGCAAGCUUUGUGUGAGAAGCUGCAUGAUGCCAAUCAGAGAACUCGGUCUCAGCACAUUCUUACAUAAAAAGCAAUCAGGUGACCACUCAAAUCUAUUCCGCUAAUUGGUGAUUCUCUGAACCAAAUUAGGAAAUUAUUACUCUUCUCCUUCUCAAGGUUUUUUAUUGUGAGAAGUUACAUUAACUUGCUUUGUAGUGCGAACUAUCACCCAUCAUGGAGAAUUGACUUAAAUGCUCCUUUUGUUCUUUCAUGUUCAUUUUAACAAUCUCCUCCAGUCAGCGAUGUUACUUCAUUUUAGUUUUCUUCUCAACUUCUGAAGGAUAGCGAACACACUGUUGAUUUAGACUCCUACUAAAGCAUGAAUUAUUAGUGGCUCCUAUUUCUUUUUUCUUUGUUGUUGUUGUUGUGUUGUUGUUUCUUUAUAAUAAUGAGGGGCUUAAAUCCUCUGAUGCUAUUGUGCUUAUUGUGCUGUUGGUGUUCUCCACUGGUCUUUGGGUGAUUCCUUAGAAAAAAGGCACCUUACAAAUUAACUCUCAGAGUGCCUUAUUAGGAAAGUUAAAAAUAGGCCAGUAUUUAUAUUGCUUUAUACAAAACAGAGAUGUCCCACUUUGUUGGAUCGAUAAAUCUAUUAUAUUGUUAACACGGACAGGUAAAUCCAAGUUUAAAAAUAUCGGCUUGCAUCUUUUUUCAGGUGAGACCACUAAAGAUUUGAAGAUUUUAAGAAAGCGAUGACGGUCAUGUAGACCAAGCUUGCAGAAGAGCAAGUGGCGAGAGAGCUCGAGCAGUGGAAUCAGGAAUUCGGUCCAAUUGAAAGUGUCACUACUUUUAAGGACUGUGAAGUUGCAAGCAACAAUUUUUAUCGUAAUGUUGAUGCAUGUAUAUGAGGGUGAUCUACUCUAAUUGGCAUUAGAUCAUUUCUUCAUCGUCGCACUUUGCUGUCCCUCCCAUUCGAAGCGCAGAUAAACGAGUCGUAUUUCUUCCUCCCUGUGGUUGGCUGCGGGGAGUUUAAUUCAUGUACAGAAAUAUAUAUGCAGGAGUUACUUUUCAUUUCUUGUUCAUAGAACCACAGAAACCCCCUUCUUCGUAUUAAAUUAUUACUCACAAAAGUGAAAUAUUUUGUGAAGAUUCACAAUAGCACGUCUACCGUCUGCCCUUGUUCAGGUUGUUUCAUAUCAGAAUGUAUACAAAUAUUAGUUUCACUUAGUAUAGGAUCCGUCUGCGAACGGGUAUAUAAUAUUUCAACUAAUUCAAAUAUAUAAUUAUUAAAAAUUAAAAUAAAAAAUAUUAAAGUAUACAAAUUAUAAAAUAGUCUUAUAUACAUUAAAAAAUAAUUUGUUAAUUAAUAUUUUUUUAACUUUUAAUAUUUAUAGGGUUGAAUUAUUUAAUACUUUUAUUAAAAUUUUGACUAAAUAUUAUAGGCUAAUUUGAUAAAAAAUCCACUUAUUUUGGGCUUUUGCAAAAUCGGGCAAUCUUUUUCGUUUUUGCAGAUUCGGUCCGCUUUUUUCAGCAAACUGACCAAAAUACUCUUAUUACUUUUUCACUUUCUCUUUUCUCUCCUCUUGCGUUCUCCGUCGUUCUUUUUUUUUUCCGCCGGAAAAAAAAAAGCGAAGCCAGGCAGAGCAAUUUUUUUUUUCUCUUUUUCUUUUUCUUCUCUUCUUCCUCCUGCUACAGCACUUUUUUUUUUCCUCUUCUUCUUCUUCUUCUUCUUCUUCCUGUAAGAGCACGGGGCGCGCCACGGCGACUUCCGGCCUCGCCAAGCAGUGUUCACCCGGCGCGUUCUGCAGGGAGGAGUCGCACCAGCGAUCGCGAGCGCCGCGGCGAGGGUGGGCAGCGCCGGAGGCGUCUCCAGCGUGGAGCGGUGGGAUGUUCCCGUAGCCGAGAACGUCGCGCAGCAGUCGAGGGCGGCGGUCCGCCACUGCCAGUGCUCGCUCGGCGGCGUUGGCCGCCGUCGCGAUCUCCGACGCUUCUUCUUCCGUAAUGGGUGUAAUUGGUGCACGCGGGCCGUGCACGCGAGCGGCCGAGCGGGCACGGGGCGUGUGCGGCUGCUUCUUCUCGGAUCAUAAUGAUGUAAGUGUGCACGUAUUACACCAUUAAUGGUGUGUAAUGGUGUAAUACACCAAUUAACAUGUGUAAUGGUGCCACCAUUAACCAUUACAUGGUGAAAUUACCACCCCAUUUAAUGAUGUGGUAACCAUUACACCAUAAUGGUGAAUAUUCACAAUUUAAUGGUGUAACCAUUUAACCGUUAAUGGUCGUUAAUUACACCAUCUUACAUCAUUAACCGUUAAUGGUGUAAUUACACCAAUUAACACCAUUAAUGGUGUAAUGGUGCUAAAUUACACAUUCCAACCGGUGCCGCGGCCCGCGAGCGAGAGUUUCCGCGGGUGGAGCUCCGGCGCCGCCGCAGUGAAGCAUGGUCUCGGUCCGGCCGCCGGGCGGUGGCGCCUCCGCAGUGAAUAUCCACCGCUCCCCUGGAGACUGGCCCCUCCUCCCUCCCUCCGACCAUGUCCUCCGAACUUCUCCCAGAUCCUCCCUCGACCAUCGUCUCGACUUCCCAGACCCAGCAGCGAAGCCGAAGCAGAAGCAGAAACCAGAAGCGGGGCGAAGGAGGACGGGGCUCUCCCUCACCGCACGGUCCGCGUCGGCCGUAGUUGCCACGCGAUGCGCGGAUUGUCCGCAGCAUCCGUCCCUCGCGACGCCGCCCCCGCGGCGGCGAGCGGCGGGCGAACCGUAGGUGCGACCGGGAGGCGCCGCGGUCAGUGGGCGGGGGCGGGGGAGGAGACGCUGGCUCGGUUUGGGAGGCGAGAAGAAGGCGAGACGCCCGCGGUGUCAUCCCGCCAGCCCGCGGAUCUCGAGGCGGCCGGCGGCGGCGGGGGGCGCCGCCGACGAACGAGGCCGCGGCGGGCCCGCGGGGGGGCAAGACGAGGGGCGGGUCCGGCGGCGCAGCACGCGCUGAAGCUCUGCCUGCGCGAUUGCCCCCACCGAGCCGAGCUCUGCCGCGGAGCUCGGGGGGCACCGCGCACGCACGGGCCGGUGCACGCGGCGGCUUGCGGGCUUCGGGUCGGACGGAGGCGCGGGGAGGUCUGGGUCGGCCGGCUUCGAGAUCAGCGGUGCCGCCAAGCCUCCCUCCUCCUCGCACGUUCGCCGCGGAGGAGGGCCACGUCGAUCCGGCGAGCCUGCGCGGGCGUCGCUGUCCUGGCUGGCCGGUUCUUCUCAUAAUGUGUAAUGGUGCACCAUUAUUACCAUCUAAUGGUGUAAUUACACUAUUAACACCGCGUUUUGAAUGCGUUGGUAAUUUACACCAUUAAUGGUUGUAGAUGGUUACACCCAUUAAUGGUGGAAAACACCAUUACACCAUUAGUGGGUAAUGGUGUAAUUACACCAUAACGGUGCACGCGCCCGCGAGCGAGCUGCGGGUGAGCUCCGCCGGGCGCAGCCACGAGGAGCGAGAUGACGAUCCGACGGCGGCGCGCAGCUGCUGCCUGCUGUGGAAGAGGAUGCGGCGCGGGGCGGCCGGCGUCGUUAGAGGAGCGAGGGGAGGGAGAGGGCGAGUGCCGCGGAGACGGAGGCGAGGGAGGGUUUGUUACGCGUGGAGUCGUCGGGCUUGUGGCGCCGAAGAAGCAGACGCGGGCCGCAGCCGGUCUCGUUCUCUGCAGAGGCGGGUGCGUACUGGCUGGGUGGAGCCAGACUCGAACAGCCGGUCACUAGAGGGAAGAAGAGAAGAAGAAGAAGAAAAGAAGAGGGGAAAAAAAAAGGUGCUCCAGCAGAGAGGAAAGAAGAGAAGAAAAAGAAAAAGAGAAGAAAAAAAUGCUCCGCCUGGCCUUCGCUUUUUUUUUUUCCGCGGAAAAAAAAAAGAACGAGAGAACGGAAAAGAAGAGAGAAAGAGGAAAGAGAAAAGUAAUAAGGGUAUUUUGGUCAGUUUGCUGAAAAAGCGGACCGAAUUUGCAAAAACGAAAAAGUGGCCAUUUUGCCAAAAGCCCAAAAUAAGUGAAUUUUAUGCAAAUUGGCCAAAUUUAUAUUGGUCAUUCUGUAAAUAAUUUUUUUUAAUUAAAAAACUAAAGUUGCAGAACUGAUUUUAAAUUAAUGAUUAGAUAAGAGAGAAAGAGAGAAAUAGAGAGAGAGAGAAGAGAGAGAAAGAGAGAAAGAAAGAGAGAAAGUGAGAGAGAGAAGAGAGAAAAAGAGAGGGAGAGAGAGGAGAGGAGUAGCGCCAGAUGGGGGGAAGAGAGAGAGAGAGAGAGAGAGAGAGAGAGCUGUAGAAGAAUAGGGAAGAGAGAGAGAGCCAGUUGUAAGAAAAGUGUGAAAGCCCAAGAUUUCCAAACAUAUAAACAUGCAUUUUGAUUUUUCAAAAAUUUAUAUUUUUAUCUCUCAAGUUUCAAAAUUAAUGCACUUAACCCUCUUCUGCCAGACUUUUUUUUAAUUGUUUCAUCUAUUUCAUAUAAUUUAUACCAAAAAUUCUUUUAAAUAAUAAAAUAUAUUAAAACAUUUAUAUAAUAUAUAUAUUUAUAUAUUAUUAUUUAUUUAUUUUCUUAGAGCAAGUAUAUAAGAUCAAUUUGACUAUUUCUUUUUUCCAAUUAGCGGCAUAAUUUAAAAAUAUUUUUAAAUUUUAAGAAAAUAAAAUAUAAAAAUUUUAAAGUCAGUGGAUAUUUAUAAAUUUCUUUUUUAAUAUUUUAGCCAUUAUUAUUAUUAUAAGUUUCAAGAUUUAGGGCAUCGCCAAUCGCACCAUUCUAAGAAGCUCGAGUUAAGUCGCGGUCCAAAUUAAGCUAAUUCGUACCCAGGUGACGUUCUAAUUAAAAACGAGGAACGUUUCCGACCCGGUCUCGACCCCUAGCCCGACCCAGAACGUGACGCAGUGAUCUCACCGCGCGUGACUAUGCUUGGAAAGCAAGUCCUCCGCGCAGGAUCAAACGGACGGCCGAGAACCCCCGAGGAGAAGAUAUUUUUUGUCUCGCGCCAGAAACUUCCCCCGCACCCCUCGGGCCGCGUUGUGCUGCCGGAGAGAGAGAAGAGCGGACGAAAUUAAGGAAAGGGCUUGAAGUCUUUGACAGUGGUGGAGCCGGGGGCAGGCGGCAGCGGGUCAAGCGGGUGGAGGCUUGGGUCGUUGACGAUGGACACAGCGGCGGCAGCGGGUCGAGCGGCUCGGGCUGCGUUCGGCUUGGGCUUAGCCGGCGCCGAGCGGAAACGGCGGGGAUGCGGCAGCGGCGAUGGCUAACAGCGGGCUUGGGUGGCGGCGGCAGGGUACGUGGGCAGCGGCGGCAGACGUGGGGGACACGGCGGCGGCGACGGCGGACGUGGGGACGCGGCGGCAGCGGCGGCUCGCCUCUGUUAACUAUAUAUAUAUAUAUAUAUAUAUAUAUAUAUUAUAUAAUAUAUAUAUAUAUAUACUANNNNNNNNNNNNNNNNNNNNNNNNNCAUAUAAUCAAGUUUUUGAAACCCAAAAUUCAGCUAUAACCACCUGAGCCAACAAAGUGUACAGAAAGUAAAAUCUACCUGUCCUCUGACUUAAUAUUUGUAGUCUCUCCGCAACUUGCCCCUGCCAUUUUGAUAUCUUUUGCUGGUAAGUCUUAACCUGCAUCUUCUCACUGUAGACAUAACCAGCAAACAAAUAGAUUUAGAACUUCUCAAAAAGGGAAGAAAGCCCCAUAACCCUCUGAAUUUUGUGGGAUUGUAAUCGCUAUCUGAGUUCAAAAAGUCACAAAUUACUGAGAUGAACAAUCAAUUUGUCUUAGGGCUAUAUGGUAUUGGGCGAGGGGUAUCCACUGCCAUAGCAUCAAAAGGAAUUGGGACAGAAAUAGAUAGAGAUAUGCUCCUACAUUUUACGAUGGGAGCAUAGAAAUCAUAUCUUAACACUGGUAGAAAUAAACAGAAUAUGUUUUAACCAUAUUUCUUCACUGUACGCAACUCAUUCUAACUGCAGUUUCCUAAUAGUAUCUGAGUUUGGAUGACAAGAGUUCAGAUAGAAGUCUGACAUUGUUUUAUUGCCACACGGCAAUCAUGGGCGGAAAUUCAAAUUGUGCGAUAGACUAAGAUUAAUUGAUUGUUCAGAGAGCAAAUUCCAAAUUUUCUUUUAAGCAUCAAUUGGUGAUUUGUAAUUCGGCCAAAGUUCAAUGGCACAUUUCUUUUCAAACAUGAAUUGUAGAGUAAACUCUCCCAACACAAGAACAGCAAUUUAAGAAGGAUCGAUUGAUUGAUCAGAAGAUAAGAUUUACACGGAGGAGAGGGCGUCGGGGACUCGGACGGCCUUGGAUUCGAGCAUGACGCGGAGCGCGUUCUUGUAGUGCGCGACGGCGUCGUCGGCGAGGCCCCACUCCUCGGCGCGCACGGCCUUGUCGAUCUCCUCCUUGGCCAGCUCGAAGUACCCCUUCAACUUCAGCGCCGCCCUCUCGCCGACGACGUUGGAGGGCCCCGCGGCGGCGGCGGCGGCGGCGGCGGAGCUCUCCAUGGCGCGAUCGGAGCCGGGCGCGAGCGGAUUCGCGGCAGCGGCGGCGGAGAGGAGGGAGGAGAAGGAAUUGAAGAGAUCCUUGAUGUAGCUCAUGCGAGUACGGCAGAUCGGGUGGGAAAUUAGGGUUAGGGUUUGAUUAAUUCUUGAGGACCGAAGGAGAGGAAGGGAUGCGGUCGAAAGAAAUCAUGAGGAGAGAAAAUUAACGAAUCUGAAGGAAAUCGUCUACGCGGCCGAUCGAGGGCGCGUAGUUGAUUCGUUGCACAACUCGCACCUUCAAUAGAGAUUUUCUAUUUGCGAUAGAGUUUUUCUAUUUGCAAAUGCCGGGUGCGUUCACUCUUUGUCCAUCAGUCGCUUUCGAGCAACGCCAGGGGCACACCAAAAAGUAUGUCUAGAUUAUACACUCGAUCCGUUGGGCCUUUUUUUCAUUUAACCUCGCAAAAAAACAAAAAAGAAAAACCCUAAUGACCUUACCAAAUUUAUAUUUACUAAUUAAGAACCCACGCUUCACGAUAGACGAAAAAUUUACAAUAAAUAAAAAAUAAUAAAUAAUAAAAAAUUUAUUUGUGUAAAUUUUUGUAAUAUUAAAGAUUAAAUCAAGUCAAAGAACAUAAUAAAAUAGAUAUCCAUCCAUUAAUCACAAAAAUUCUAAAAGAUGCAUCAGCAAUAAACAGAAUAAUUUUAUUAUAUUAUCAGGGUUUGCUCUUGCUAUUGAUUCGGCCAUCAUCUUCUGUAAACCUAUGAAGUUAUCAUAGUAAAAAAUAUAUAUAAGUUUAAUUGAUAAAUAAUUAUAAAGAACUUAUUAAAUCGAUGCAGUUGUAGUGGAAUUACCUAAGACGCUUUCUGCUUGGCUGAACCACAUUAGAAGUGAAUAAAAAGAAGUAAAAUGCAGGCUAUUUAUUAGUAUAACUAAGUAGACUUAAAAGGACCAGAAAUUAAAAAGUUCAUGUUUUCCGGGUACUCGCAAGUACCCAGUUAAUUACCCCCUCUCGCUAUAUUCAGGCGACCUCCGAUUAAACUGAUCAUAAUAAAAAAAAAAUACUCUCUUUUAAGUAAUAAUAUUUAUUUUUUUUUGAUUAAAUAAUAAUAAUAAUAAUAAUGUUAACAGAAAGUAGGUUAUAAUAAGUACAAUAGAAUUGAUGAUAAUCUUAUAUUACCAUGAUAAUAUUUUAAAGAGAAACUCUUUUUUUUUUUUUGGUUACGCAAAAAUAUUUAGUAAUUUUCGACUUAAAAAAAGGAUAAGCAAAUGCAUACAUUAAAUAAUUCACAACACUUAAUCACUCAUGCCUUUCCUUUUUUUUUUCUUUUUUUUCUUUUUUUUUUUUUUACGGAACAGCUAAAUGAUGCUCAUAUAAAUGACAUCUAAUUUCCAAAAUAAUCAGUUAUUAUGUAGGAAGGACAGGAAAAGUAAGCAAAAUCAAAUAAAAUAAAAUAAUUUCAAUUUGCAGAUAAGUCCUUCUUUCUUUCUUUUUUUUAGAGUAGUACGAUAGUUCUAUUAGUAAAGGGAAACUAUAAAGUACAUUUUAUUUUAAGCCUAACAAAGAAAUCACCCCCUUUUAUUUUUUUGUUUGCUUGGCUUCGAAGCAAUGGAGUGGCAGCUGUUUAGGUGAUUUAAGUCGGCAACAGCAGCUUGGGCAACUUAAGCUGCAAUGGCUUAGGUGACGUCGACGAUGGACACAACGGCUUGGGCGGUGGACACAGCGGUGGACCGACGAUGUUAACGGCUGUGCCCGCCGCCGACAUCACCCAACGCCACUGAAGCCGCCGUUGGCCCUUCGUCCACCAUCGUGCCAGCCGUUAACACCGUCGGUCCGCCGCUGUGUCUACCGCCCAAGCCUUUGUGUCCAUCGUCGACGUCACCUAAGCCAUUGCCGCUUCAGUUGCCCACGCUGCUGUUACCGACUUAAAUCACCUAAAUAGCCGCCACUCCAUUGCUUCGAAACCAAGCAAACAAAAAAAUAAAAGAGGGUGAUUUCUUUGUUAAGCUUAAAAUAAAAUGUACUUUAUAGUUUUCCUUUACUAAUGGAACUAUCGUACUAUUCUAAAAAAAAAAAAAAGGACUUAUCUGCAAGUUGAAAUUAUUUUAUUUUAUUUUAUUUUGCUUAUUUUUCCUGUCCUUCCUACAUAAUAACUGAUUAUCUUGCAAAUCAGAUGCCAUUUAUAUGAGCAUCAUUUAGCUGUUCCGUAAAAAUUAAAAAAAAAAAAGGAAAGGCAUGAGUGAUUAAGUGUUGUGAAUUAUUUAAUGUAUGCAUUUGCUUAUCAUUUUUUUAAGUCGAAAAUUGCUAAAUAUUUUUGCCUAACCAAAAACAAAAGAAAAAGAAAAGAGUUUCUCUUUGAGUAUUAUCAUGGUAAUAUAAGAUUAUCAUCAAUUCUGUUGUAUUUAUUAUAACCUACUUUUGUUAACAUUGUUAUUAUUAUUAUUAUUAUUUAAUCAAAAAAAAUAAAUAUUAUUACUUAAAAGAGAGUUUUUUUUUUUAUUAUGAUCAGUUUAAUCGGAGGUCGCCCGAAUAUAGCGAGAGGGGUAAAUUAAUCGGGUACUUGCGAGUUUCCGGAAAGCAGGAACUUUUUAAUUUCUGGUCCUUUUAAGUCUACUUAGACUAAUAAAUAGCCUGCAUUUUACUUCUUUUUAUUCACUUCUAAUGUGGUUCAGCCAAGCAGAAAGCGUCUUAGGUAAUUCCACUACAACUGUAUCGAUUUAAUAAGUUCUUUAUAAUUAUUUACCAAUUAAACUUAUUUAUUUUUUUUACUAUGUUAACUUCAUAGGUUUACAAAAGACGAUGGCUCAAUCAAUAGCAAGAGCAAACCCUGACAAUAUAAUAAAAUUAUUCUGUUUAUUGUUGAUGCAUCUUUUUGAAUUUUUGUGAUUAAUGGAUGCACAUCUAUUUUGUUAUAUUCUCAGACUUGACCUAAUCUUUAAUAUUACAAAAAUUUACACAAAUAGUUUUUUUUGUUGUUUUUUAUUUUUUUAUUUAUUGUGAAUUUUUCGCCCGCCGCAAAGCGCGGGUCCUUAACUAGUUAGACAUGAUUUUGUAAACCUAGCUACUAUUUAGCAAGCUCAUGACCACAAACGGCCCAAAAAUAAUUUUUUUUUCUUUACAAAAUUAUAUUUAUGUGUUAUUUUUAUCAGUUAGUUACAAAAAAAAAAAAAGCAAACGUGAUUGACCGAGUCCAAAGGUUUAAAUGCAAACGUUCAACACCGUACAAACAAUGGAGGUGAAGUAAAUCAAGGGGAAGGUCAUCGAUCAUAUCAUCGCCCUUCCUUCGUGCCUAGAUAUUCAUCGAUUCAAAAUAUUUUAUCAAUAAAAAAUUUAAAAAAUAUAUUAAAACUAAUCUACAGAUAACUUUUUUAUAAAUAAUUGAAUUUUGAGUUAACUCUUUAUUUUUUUUUUAAAAAAAUUCUAUUUUGUUUCUUUAAAAUUUAAAAUUGUGAUGUUUAACUUAGUAUUAUUAUAAUUUCGCCAUUAUUCUGUGCAUAAAUUGUGUGGUACAAUUGAACAAUCAGUAAUAUAUAUACUCAUUAAAUUCUUAGAAGUGGUAAUAAAAAAAAUUAAUUAAUAAAUAAUUGGAAAUCUCUUUCAUAAAGUUAUAUUAUUUAAGAGAAAAUAUAUAUAUAUUUUUGUGCAUUUCCAUAAUUUUUAAGGAUAUAAUAACUAUCUUUGGAAAUUUUUUGACUGUACCGUACAAUUAUAUGUAUGAAUUAGUGACGAAAUUAUAACGUGCAGAGUUAAGUGCUACUUCAAUUCUAAAUUUUAAGAUAAGAAAAUAUAAGCUUUGAAAUGACAGAGAAGGAAAAUAAAACAAACAAAUAUCUAUAGAAAAAGGAUUUCUAAGUUUUAGUUAAUAUAAAAUCUUCAUGUUUUUUAAAGGAGUUCAAUUACUCCACUGAACAUCAGGAUACCAAUUUCAAAAAUGUAUUGUAAUACCCUUUUAAGUAAACUUUAGCUGCAACUUUUCCUAAGUCAAGACAUGUCUGAUCGACAAGAGAAAGUAUAAAAUGUGAUAGUCACAUAGCUAAUGUGGCGUCUCUAACCAAUUAUAUUUUGGUUCACCAAUCUCACCAUAAUAUAUAAAAGUUUUUUUUUUUUGUACUUUAAGAGUUGUGAUUGACUGAAUAAAUAUGAUGUGGUGUAGGUGUUGACUGAUGUUACUUAUCGGUGUAGUGAAAAGACUAAUUUUAACAGCAUUCUGCUCUUACCAACAGGCAAUAGAUGAGGAGGUCUUCACCUAUUUUCAUCUAUAUCUGCUUAGCAGCCCACUACAGUUCAAUCAUUCCUUACCUGGGGCUAUCUAAUACACUCAUACUAACUAGCAUCCGAGAAAUACAAUGGCUCUAAAAAAGAUUGCAGCAGACUGGCAUCUCUCAUAAUAUUGAAAUUAUUUUGCGAACUAAUUCACAGGCUAAAAGUCACCAGAAAUUAAGAACAAAUUUUUUAUACACUUGGUUUAUACCCCUCACCCUCUUCCUCUCUUUACCCUCUUUCCUCUCCAAAACCAGCCGACUCUCACUGCUGCAGCUGUUAUUUUCGUCCUUUGCACAGUACGAACGACAAAAUAGCGGCGCAAAAGAACUCUUGCGCCGUUCCCAAAUCCCGAGUUUUCGAAUCCUGCCCCUCCCAUUCGAAACCCUAGCUCCUUCGAUCAGGGAGAAGGGUUGGUGGCCACGGCGCUCUACCUCCUCUUUGAUGUAAUAACUGAGAUUUUUGAUUUAUUGAUUAAACCCUUUUGUUUGACGAUGUUCUUGUGUGUAAUAUAAUUAUAAGUGUACUCGUCAAAUUUCAGGAGAAAACGAGUUAAAACGGAGAAGUUACGCGACCCGGAAGUCUGACUUAAGUGAAUAGUAACUCCGGUUUUCCGGAGAGGCCGCGGAGUAGAGUGGACUUUCGACGCGUAUCGGACUCCGAAUAUAGCCUUCUAAUAGCUCGUUUUCAACUGCUCGACUAUCCUGGACCCAAUGGCACUGACGGAAUUGGAUUUGGAUGCACGGAUUUCGAGAAAAAGGGGUUUAAUGGUUUUUGCAUAUACGAUCGUACAUUGCGUGGUUUUGCGUGGAACCUUGAGGGAUGGUUUUGUCGCAAAUGGAAACCUUUUCGGUGAAAAAAUGCUAAUUCGAUGCGCUAUGUAUGACUGAUGCGCUGGUGCGAGCGAUAGGAACAUCCGAAGGAGCGGGAUUUCGGGAAUCCAGAAAAAUCGCGAAGGGGACUGAUUUGGAAAUGGUCAUUCCCGAAAAGGCCUAUAAUUUUAUGGCAAUCGAAUUGAGAGUUUUUCGAACAUCAGAGUGGACAUCAGGCAUUGUGGACUUGAUGGUAAUGAUAGCUGGAUAAUGCUGAUUCGCUUUCGAGGGGCGUUUUCGCAAGUAUUUCCAUAUCUUUAUAUAAGGUGAUCUUAGGUUUUUGACCAAAACUAACAGCUAGAACACCCAGCUCACCUGGCACCCAGGCCCGUACCCCCCUUCGCGGACCCUCCCGCAGUGUCGUUCGCCGAUGUCCGCAGCACCCCGGCGCCGGAACAGGCCUGCAGGCCACGAUUUUCAUCCUUCUCUGAACCACUCACCACUGCUUAAGCUUUGUGCCUGAGAGGCAUGUUAGCCCGAUGACACCUUCCUCUCGGUCUCGACGGCACGCACUCACCUCACUGCCCAGACCUCCCCCGUCGCCGCUCGCGCGGCAGCCCAACCCGAGAGGAUAUAAGUGUGGCGGCCCGGAUCUCCGCGCGGCGCCGGUCAGGGAGGCCGUGAGUUUCGCGAUGCUGAGCGGGUCGCGCAAACCCGGCGUGACUGCCCGUACCGGCCAGACUCCCCGGACUCCCGACAGCUGCCCAUCCCGACCGGGAGUGCCGCCUUUUCCGAUAGUGCGGCCCUAGAUCGACAGUCGGUGAGUAGUUAUAAUUUUGUUGCCAGCAGCUGGCUGGUUUUGCAUUACGGUAACCUUUCGUGAAACGAUGGAUCCUGGCCUGGAGGUGAGCAGGUGAUUGUGGGACGUGUGCUGAACGUAUGUCUCAACCUCCAUUUAGGCCUAACGUCCCUGGUUAGUAAGAAUAAGGCUGUUAUUCCACAGUGUGCCAUUGAUACGCUGAGGUUCGAGUCGUCGAUGCGCCGCGUGGUUCUGCGAGUGCUCCGAAAGGUGACACGGCUCAGCAUGCUGAAACCUGGAGCAAGUGCGAUGGCAACCUCGUAGAGUACUGUUUGUUGUAGGACCGUUAGAGCAUGAAAUCACAUAAAUAUUCGUUCCUGGGCCAUUAGAGGAAUGCUUUUUGCGUUUCGCUUGUCAUGCUGUUUGGCAGGAGGUUACAGUUAAGAUAACCUUGGAAUGAUCGUCAGGCCCAAGCCCGUUGCGGAAAUCUAACGUCAUUUCGGACGUUUUUCAGGGAAAUACCCGAUAGAUACGCGUGUUCGACCUCGGAAUUCAUUCGCGGUGCUCGUGGUUUGAUUAUUGAGGCGUCGCUAGACUUGUGGCUGUCACCCGUGUCGUCUGAGGGUUAGAAACGACGGCUGGCGAUGAUGGCAGUUCCGGAGUACGGUUUUCGGGACUUCACGCGUGGUUGCGGAAGUUGGUUGAGAAACCGAUUUUCCGAGGGUUAUUAUUUUGGGAUUUGUGUGAGAAAUGAUCGGUUAAUUAGUGUUAUUGUGGUUAGACUCUAACGCCGGUGGAUCGCUUCGUAGUCGGAUCGCUUCGCUAUCCGCUUCAGCGAGACCAGUUUACUUUAUCGGGGGUACUUUUCGAUCGAGUCGAUAAGUGGUGCAUGCUCGGUGAUGUCUCAUUUACUAUCUUUGUACAUCGUCUAGUCAUAGUUGCUUAUCAUCUUAAAUACAUAUUGAGCCUUGCAACCAUACACUGUCUUUAUUACUUGGGCCGGUUUUGCCUAUGCUAGUAUUCUGUUAAGAGAGGUAGAGUAGAUGGCAUUAAGUAUAUAUACAUAUUAAUGUACCUGAUUGGUCGUUCCCUGUUGGCAUCGGACUCUGGUUGUCGUUCGUUACUUGUUACGUACAUUGACCUAUCUACGGUGUUAGUUGUACUUGAUGAACCUAUACGCGUUAAUGCGAGGGGCAGUGAUUGGGCUGUUGCGACGGUGCUGAUUGAGCAUAUCAGAUCGAUCGUCCACUCGUUUGCAUUUCUCACGAAACGACAGGGUCUGAUUCACCGCAGGCGUGUCUUUCCGGAAAAGUGGUUUGGCUUGCCCCCCAUCUGAGCUCGAGGUUACGACUGGAUAUGCAGGUUGAAGUGAGUUGGCUUAACUGAGUUCUGACAACAGGCAGGUUUAGAUUGGGUAUCUUUUGACUAUGACAUUGAUGCAUACAUAAAGUAGCGUAGUUCUUAGCUUGUACAUUAGUUAUUACUUGUACUUUCUGUUCUGUAUCAAUUAGCUUAUGUAGUUGUUUACUUAUGUAUUGGUUGAGCCUCAUGUGGUGGGCGUACCCUCGCCUGUCGUUUCGUAACCACUGGGGGAGACAUUUACAUGUUCUCACCCCACGCCAUUACAGGUGCGUCGAGUCCAGAGUGGCGCAGGUAGAGGAGGCGGUAGUGGCGUAUAGAGCUCGUAACGCCGUUUGUUAUCUCUUUAUCCUCUUGCUUGACUAAAUAGUCAAUUUUAUAUGGUUCAGAUUUAUUCUGUACUUGGUAAUUGGUUUUCGCAUGGCUUUACACUAUUGUGAUAAAAAAAAGGUUAUGGGCUUUUCACGUAAAAUGGUUUUCUACUCGUGUAGCGCUUAUUUAAAAGAAGGUUUUCGUAUUCGAUACAGUUUUAAUGUUUCUACCCCUCGUGAGUGUUUUUAAAAAUACAGGUUUCCGUGUGGGAAACAGUCUUAAAAGAAGCUUCCAAUGGAUUUCUGAGACUUAGUAUUUCAAAACUUUUUCCGGGUAGGAAACGUUUCAAAUGAUAGAUCUGGAUUUAUGUUUAAAACUAUGAAUACCGUCGUGUUAUGAAUGGUGAAUGUAUGGACGUCUGUAUGUGCGGUUGAGGUUGUAUGUUCAUAUGGUUGUGGUUGUAUUCUGGUUGUACUCUGGUUGUAUAAUUGUACUUGUGCGACGCCGUGCAAAUACAGGGGAGACUCUGUCCGUGUGAACAGUGGAUUCCCUGUAUUUGUGGCGGAUCUGACAUACUCUGGGGUCAGGUGUUUCAAAAAAAAAAAUUUAGUCGUUUCCGCUGUUUUUCCAAACUAAAAAGGGACCCCGGGGCGUGACCUUUGUGUCGGCACCGGGGUAUUCUCUCUUCGAGGCGUACGGCCUCGACGAGAUCGGCCAAAACACCUAAGCCGUGCGCACUUCGUCCUCGACUUCACGCACUUCAGCAAGUCAUCAAAUUCGUCAGCUUCUAUAGAAUCGCUUUUUUGUAGACAUCUCCUCCUUCGACCAAAUUAAGUUUGCAGCGCUGCAGAAGUCGGCGCCGAGAUCUGCAUGAGGCGGCUGUUGUCGGUGCUGUGUCUGAGGCGGACGCCAACUUCUGCUUCUUCUCCUCCUUCUUCUUCUUCUCCUCCUUCUUCUUCUUCGGGACAUCAUCGCCCUGUACCCAUCUCUUUCCCUCUCCCCAUUUUUUCCCUUCUCUUCGCAUUCGAAACUCUUAAUUAAUUAUUAAUCAUUAUUAUUAUUAUGAAUUUUUUCUAUAUUUUUUGGACGGCGGGCUUCACAGGAUCGUCGGGAUCCGAUCAGGGGAUGGUUGUACUCUUGCGAUCUCCGGGAUUCGCGUACGGCGCGACGGGAUUGGCGGUGCAGUGAAGGAAAAAGGGCGAUCCCUCUUUCGUUUCUUCUUUCUCCCUUUAUUUUAUUUUAUUUUAUUACUAUUAUUAUUUGAGAUCGGGGAAGAGAGAGAGAGAAGGAGAGAGAAAGAGAGAGAGAGAGAGAGAGAGAGGCAUCGGAGUAGCACAGUACAGGGGAUUGGGGAGGAGCGAAGGCGCUAAGAAGAGGGGACCCACGGGUCAGAUGGAUGAGAGAGGGGAAAAAAAAUUAUUGGGGCCCACAUCCAAAAUCAAGGGGAAGCUGCAAAACGGUUAAGGGUUCGCCCUUUAAUGUUAUUGUAUAGAUACUAGUGCAGUGACCCUCACGAUGCAGCGGGUAAGUAAUAUUCGAUAUUUAACUUAUAAUUGUUGAUUAUCUUCGUUACAAGAUAAAUAACAUAUCAUACUUGCAACAUAGAGAACAAAAAAAGAGUAAAAAAAAUAGAACUAUAAGAGAAUAAAAUUUGAUGCAUAGUUAAACUGAAUAAAUAUUUGAGAUCUUACAAAAAAAAAAGGCUAAAGAAAAACGAAAUAGUAAAUACAUAAGAAGAAUUAAAAAAUUUUGAGUAACAAACAAAUAAAAGCAUAAGCAGUUAAUCAACAACAGCAUGAGGGACCAUAAAUACAAUAAAACUGAGAGUUGUAGAAGUCGAGGAAAGAGUGCAAGAGUUGGCUGUAAGAAAAGGCAAUAGUCAGUAAAGAAUUAAAGAAAGAAUGAAAUAGGACUAAUAGGAAAAGUCGAUUAAAAAAUAUUACUAACUAGCUGUCCCAAAAAUAUGCGAUUGCAGUAGUACAAAAAUCAAAUGUAGCAGCAACUUACAAAAUUAAUUAGAAUACAUAAGUUGCAAAACUUAUAGUCAAAUAAUUUUAAACAAGAAUAGUAAGAAAACACCAUCACAACAAUCGAAAAAAAUAAUAUACAUAACACACUGGUUGUAAUUAUUUCGCAAUUGUCAUCCUGGUUAAUUUACUGUGUAAAAUAUGAUUUAAGCCGAUAGAUAAGUUAAACUGACAAAUAGGGCUGACACAAAUCCCAUACAAAUCCAUAAUUAAGCAAAAUAGUUAAACUGACAGGUAUUUCGCACAAAAGCCCAAAUAUAAAGAAAUUCUGACAUGUCGACAAAAGGAAAUGGAAUUUAAUUAGAAAGUAUACCUGCCCAAAUUAAGAAAAUACCUCCACGUGGACUAAAACAAACCUGAUUUCGUCAGAAAUUAUAUGUAAAUAAAUGGAAGGUAAUUAAAAAUAUUUGGUAUACAUAAGAAGGAAAGAAUGAAUUAGAACUAAUAGUAAAACUGUAAUAUCUUUUUCCAACCCACAUAUAUAGUAGAUGAAACAAUAGUAGCAAAAGAUCAAGUGAAGUAGCAACUUCGAAAAUUGAUUAUAAAAGUAAAAAAAAACAUCAUCACAACAAUCGAAAAGAUAUAAAGUGAAAUAAAAUGAAGGAGCAGCUCCUAAGGUUAAGUAGAAGCUAGAGAAAUAUCAGCAAGAACUUGUAGUAAGAAACGAUACAGAAAAAAAGGGAAAAAAAAGGCAAACACAAACUAAUGAUAAAAUAUACAUCAUAAGGAGCAUAAGCAGUAGUAGUAGAAAUUUGAGUAAAUCGAAAAAGAUCAACAGGUCAUAAAAUUCUAUUUUUACUAUAGGCUCAGACAUGUAAUGAGUAUUAUCAAUAGUCAACAAUAGUAUUUUUUUCAUUUCAAAAGUCUUCGAGAAAAGGUGCUGCGUAUAGUUAUAUAUGUUCUCAAUAGCUUAUGUAUCUCUUGAUGGGGGUAAUCACUGGUUGCAAUUAUUUAAUAACUGCCAUCCUAGUUGAUACUCAACCGGCAGAGAAAUAGAGUUUUUUUUGCCGCAAAUAAAAUUUUUUACGAAGGCAUAUUAUAUGGGCAACAAGAAGGGACCGCAGAUAAUGAAUACGAACCAUUUUCGUGACUGGAGGGGAUGAAUAAGCCGAAACGAAACGUCCCUUAGGGGAAUGGCGCGACGAGACCCCUUCUGUUUGAUCUACAAUGAACUGUCAGACCCUUUUGAUCUAAAUUUGUCAACCUAUUAACUUACAAGUAAUAAUACUUCUAUACUAAGAUAUACUUUAUUGUACAUAAAUACUCACAGCCAAAAUACAGAACAAAAAAAAAGUAAAAAAAUACUAAAAUAAGUGUUGGAACUAUUUACUAUCGUCCAAUCCAUGCAUUGCUAAUAUUUUUAGAGCUAUCUAAUUCUGCAACCAUCACAAUUAGCAAGAUAUAACAUCAAAACAACUCAGUAUUAAACCUUACACCGGAUCAAAACAUAGAGGAGGAACAUCAAACUCACCUUGAUGAGGAUCGUAUCGCCACAGAAAAGCUAGAGCUUCUCUAUGGUCUCCGGAUUCAUUGAAACGGCAGAGUUGUCGUCGUUCGUCGCCUCAUCCACAACCAACCUAUUCGCCGCCUUCUUGCACUCUAGGAUCGCGGUGCUAUAAUCCCUCUUCGUACCCUUGCUGCAAGAUUUUUCCCGAUCAAAAAUAGAUCAACAUUAGAACCCUAACCCUAAAUCCCCACUCGAUCAACACACAAUUUAGUAGAAAAUAGGGGAAACUUAUGGAUUGGAGGAGGAAGAAGCCUCGUCCUUGUUCGCCAUUGCUGAUGAGCACAGGAGCUGAGAAGAGAACGGGAUCGAAAAGAAAGGAGACGAAAAGCUUUGUGAGAGAUCGACGGGGAGGAUGAGGGUAUUUAUAAGCGCUAUGCUUUGUUACUUCGGGCUUGGGUUUAGCAUUCCAGAGAGGGAACAGGAGUCGGAGCAGCAUCGAGGGGGCGAACGAAACGAAGCGUCGCUAACGGGAACGGGCGGAACGGGAAGAAAGCCUGACCAUGAACUCGGCCCAACAUUCCGUCCAGAGAGGGAACAGGAGUCGGAGCGGCAUCUAGAGGGGCGAGCGAAGGAGCCGAAGCGGAACAUCGGGUGGAAGACGAAGCAGAGUAAGGAGGAAAAUUAAAUAGGAAGCGGUGUAGGGAGGAAAAAAAAUUUGGUCGGGUGGGCCCCACCCACUAAUUAAUUAAUAGAAUAACUUAAGAUGACAGGUAGGGCCCACAAAAAUUAAGUUAAGCUAAUACUGCCACGUGGACGUAGAGAACGGGCUUUCAUAAGGGUUAUAGAUAUAAAACUUUUUUUCUUACUACGCGAGCGUCACGUAGGCAAUUUUAAGUUGAACAUGAUAAUUUAAUCACCGUGUUUAAACACCGUAAUUAACUCACCGUAUUCAUAUUCACACUCUAAUCCCUUUUUUUAACUUAGCAACGGUUGGUGCCAAUACAAUAGCUCCACAUGGUAAAACAGUGCACAGUAUAGCUAGAAACUACAAAGCUAGAGAUAAAUGACAUUUGGUACACCGGGAGCAAAGAAUAAAUUAUAUCAAACCAUAGGUAGUUUGAGCGGUUGAGAUCGGCUUUUGGUGGCCCACGAAAUUAGGGAAGUGGCCGAUCAUGUAAAUAACUGAAUAACAAUGAGCGGAGUAUAAAUAAGCGGGUAACGCCUGGAAGAGUGGUCUUUUCCCUGCGAUCAGAAGACCACUUUUCAAUUGUACGCAUUUUCUUAGCUUUUCUUAGGAGUAGUUUACUUAUAAUCUUUUCUUUCUCCCCUACAUUUGCCGCUUUUCUUAGGAGUAGUGUUAUUUCUUGGGAGUAGUGUUAAGGUAGAUUUUCUUAAGCCACACCGGCAUCUUUUUGUACUUGUUUCGAAUUUCAAGCUAAUAUAUAUAAAAUGGCAUUUAGCUAUUUAGCCGACCCAAAGAUAUUGCGCAAUUCCUAAUUCGGCUUAUUCAGCCGAAUCGACUCUAUAGUAGGAGAUUUCAAACUUGACUGAUCCGAUCCCUCAUCAGCCGAAUCGCUUAAUCUGUCGAAAAGGCACAAACUUCGAGGGUCAUCACAUGUCGCCGUUUCACAUCCCUGCAUGCUUCUCUAGGGAAAUUCUUGACCGGGUGAAGGGGUACGAAAUUCGACUCGCAGCAAUUUUUGGCACGCCCGGUGGGACAUCGUCUAGGUAAAUUUGUAUUUUCUUUAUUACAAACUAAUGGCUGACAAUAAUACCAUGAAUUUCCGCAAUAGAAUCGUUCAACGCAAUUUUGGGAACGACAGCCAGUAAUACCGAGAAUGUGGUCGAGCGUCAUGCAGUCUUGUCAGUCGAAGGUGAGACUAGCGGUCAAUCAGACCAGCAAGAGCCAAGUGUGGCUCAGGCGCUCGAAAAGAUGACACUGGUUUUACUAGUUUUAGACCAAAAUAGUCACAUGAGUAUCGCUCGGUUAGAUGCAGUUUUAGCCGUUAUCACGACUUCCAAUGACAACAUUGCUCAAAUUGGGCAAUUAUUAACACGAAAUGAACAACCGAUAGUAGGUUUAUAAGGACCUGUAGAUACACCGGUGUUACAAAAUUUCGUGACACCGACAAACACUCAGCCUCAGGGGGCACCUUUCCAAGCUGCCUAUAGACCGGCUACUUUAAAUGUCGGUCAACAAUCUAAAGUGGCAUGGGGAUUACCUCCUCCACUAUCGUUACCGGCUUACCAACCCCAAAAUAUGGGAAUUAGAGCUACAGGGGCAAGCUGUAACAUACCGAACUUCUACAAUCAUAAAGUUUUGGUGGGAACCAGCUUAAAAAACUAUUAAAGUAGUUCCAGCGUAGUUUGGAGAGCAUUCGAGUAUUCUCGGCACAAACUGGAAAAUCGACAACCAAACCUACGGAGGGUCCACCGGGUUAGUACCUAACCCACAUAUAAAAACACUAAACUCACAACCCCACACAUGAUCCUUUGGGAAUCGGUUUUUCAAAAUCGAUUACCGUAAUUAGCCGAAAGUCUCGAAAAUCGCACCGAGACUCUGCUAGGUCCCACGAAGUGUCCGAGACUCACCGACUCAUGCCAUGAGUCACCCGCUGCCACAAAACACUGUAAUAAAGGUGUCUUGGCAGCAAACACGAAGUCUCACAUUGAAACGAUUAUCGUCGGAUAAUCAUUCCGAUCCGGGUUCUCGAAAGUGUCGUUUUCGACACUGGAAGCCACCGUCGCUCACCCGUAGUCUCCGAACCCCCAAAACGACAUUAGUGACCAGACAACAAGGCUCAGUGACAAAAAGUAACUCACUCUAGCACUGUCGGACGAAAUCCGAACUGAAACCGCGUUCCGUCGGCGAAUUUUGCCAAAAAACGCAUCGAAAAUCAAUAUUUGAUUUCCGCGAAGGACCUUGGACCUUGGACUUUGGACAAUCAGUCCAGAGAUCACCGGCCACCUACACAUACUGCCCACAGUAGCCACGAAUUGCACAAUUGCCGAAAAGCCCUUACUAUUUCAUAAAAUCACAUUAUUUUAUGUGAUUUACUGGGUUUUAUGGGUCGUUAUAGCAAACCGAGGGCUUUUGAGGUCGACCGAGACAUGUAAUGAUAGGUCUCGACGUGCCGGAGGCCGUGCUCAUGAUUCGGAGCACAACCGUCCAUUGUGGAUAGCGCGGGAGCAACUCGAAAAUCUGUGAACUUCGCACAUUGUGCAUAAAUUGCGCUUAUCUCACAAAUCAGGGGCUUGCUGACCUCAAAGAAGGUGAUCACAAUGGUCAACACUAAUCCAAGAUCAUCGUGCUCACAUCCAAAAGCAUCAGGGUGCCCUCGGAUUGCCAGAACAGUGAUCGCAAACCAAAACAGUGCACAAACAGCUUAAUAAAAGCUUACCGGGCCUAACCAGUGCGGGCGCGCCGGCGGUAGGUGAGUGCGGCAGGUGGGGGAGGGUCGCCGCUAGCGCUGGCUGACGGCGGGAGGUAGUGGCGGCGGCGCUGGGGUAAUGUAACAUACCGAACUUCUAAAGUUAUGAAGUUGCGGUGUAUGUUGGCUUGGAAGAGUUAAAAAUGAGUUCUAAAAGAGUUAGAAGGGUUUUGGCAUCGAUCGGCGCGAAAUAGAGUCGAAACAGAGCCAAAAACCAAGUCUGGGCAAAGUGUACCGGUACAACCAUUGAGUUGUAACCGGUACAGCAAAGUGUACCGGUACAGCAUUGAAAGUGUACCGGUGCAAAUGCUAUGAAACCGAGAAACUGCUCUCGGGUUUGCUUCUGCAUAAUCGUGUUAUCGGUGACACGGAAAAGUGUAUCGGUACACUUUGGGCUGACAGCACAGAUUUAGUCUGUUGCAAAAUAGAAUGUUUUGGGGGCUUAGUUGCAAUUAUUGCACACCAUAUUAGACCCCAAAUACCCUCCCUCUUCACAGCAGCCAUCUCCCUCCCUCUCUCGUGUCUCUCUCUCUCCCUCAACCGUGAGCAAGGGAAGGAAAGGAGAAAGAAGAAAAGAGAAGGAAAGGAAGGAGAAGAAGAAGAAAGAGAAGGGUUUAGAGGCUUUGAAGCUCUCCUACAAGGUAUAGCUUGGGAUUGCUCUUGGGCUAAGGUGAGUUUUUGCAAGAACAUUUCUAGGGUUUGGAUUUCUACCAUAAUACUUAGAGUUUUGGAGCUUCUUACAUGCUUAGAAGCCUCUUGAGACCUUAAAACCAUGAAAUCCAUGGUUUUCUUCAAAGUGCUCUAAUGGUGAAGCUCUAGGGUUGGCUCUAAACACCCUAAGAAUGGUUCGAAUUAUUCUAAAUGAGUUUCUAGAUAUUGAACAAGCUCUCUUUUGCUUGUUCUAGAUAUCAAAACCUAGGAUUUAGUAAAGGGCUUGGUUAGGGCACCAAAUUUGGAGCUUUUGCCCUAGAAUGUUUCUAAGGCAAAUUGGCCUUGUAGAAACCUAAUUGGGGGUAUAACGAACGCGUUGGUGCGCUCGGUUCGACAAUUCGAUGAGUAUACGCAAAGUUAUUGACAAAAUAGCAUUUUGUCAUACAGAUAGCCGCAACAUGCGGAAUAGACGUCUAAAAAUCAUGAGAUCGGAUCUGGAGCAUCGUGGUAUCAAGGAAUAAACUCCAGAAUGGACGGAUCGCGGAUUGGUGGCCGUUCAGGUGGUCGCGCGAGAGUUCGGGCCGAACUGGGUCACGGGUGCCGCGGGAGGCCGAUUGCAAGUGACUACAAGCAACCGGAACGUGUUUUGAGGUGGGUUGUGUUUACCGAAACGAUUAGGUCGCCUGUAUGUCUAAGACUAGUGCUUACUAUUGAUGCAUGUAAUGGUAGCUAGUGGUAAAACACAUCAAUGCAUAAGGUGAAAUGCUAUGUUAGGCUACCAAAUAAUGCAUAUGGUCAUAAUGUGAGAAUGCUAAGUAAUGCAUAAUGACAUAGUGUAGAUAAUGCUAAGUGGAAAGCAUAAAGUAAAUGACAUAUGUUAGUCAUGUUGCAUGUAUAGAAAUGCUAAUGUAAGAAUACUAAGUGAAUGAAUAUUGACAUGAAAUAAGAUUGCUAAAGAAAAUAUAUGAUAAGCAUGUUAUUGGGAUGCUAAUGCGGAAUACUAAGUAAAGGACAUAUGUAUACAUAUAUAGAUCGAGUGGCACCGAACCUAGUGUCAAGGACAUAGGUUGAACAAGAGUAAUAUUGAACCUAGUGUUAAUAAACAUAGGUUGAACAAGUGUGGCAUAUAACCUAGCGUCAUGAACCUAGGAUGGAUAAGAGUGAACGUGAACCUAGUGUUAAUGAAUAUAGGUUAAACAAGAAUGGCAUUAAACCUAAUGUUAGAGAACAUAGGUUGAGAAUGAACCUAGAGUCAAGUCAACCUAGGUUAUGAGUUAAAGAUAUUGAACCUAGAGUUAAAGUAAACCUAGGUUAUGUGAUAAAAGUGUUAGCCUAGUGUCAAGUGGACCUAGGGUGGAAAGAACAUUGGACCUAGAUAGGUCGACACUAUAGGGUUAAGACCAACCCCCGAGCUAUGUGGAAUGGAUUCCGGAAUCCCAAAGUUAUGGAACACCCAAAGUGGUGUUGGGCGUGUGCGACGAUUUUGCCGUCCGGGGCCAACCAUUGACGUGGCGUGUGCGACGAUUUCGCCGCCGGAUGGUUAUGCCGAGUUGUGGAUUAUACCGCCGCUUGACUUGAGCCAUUGUUGUGGCGUAUGUGCGACGAUUUCGCCGCCGAGUGGCUCAGUCAUAGAGUGCGGCAAGUUGUGGUAGGCUGAGGUGCAUGUGAGAGUUCCUUCACCUCGAGCCGACAGAGCGCAGAUUAUCCGCAGUUGAUUGACUCAAGAUCGAGUCGGGUCGCAUAAAGGACUAAGGUAAGAGUAACCUUAGAAAAGAAUGGCCGAUGAGUAAAUUGUAGCUAAAGAAUAAAGAAUAGCUAAAGAAUAAAGAAUAGCUAAGAAUAAAGAAAGAGUUGCAAGUAAUAAAGAAUGGCUAGCAAUAAAGAAUGAAAACGAUAGAAAGUAAAAUCAUUUAUUCUACUUGCAUAGUUGCAUAGUUUCAUAUUGCAUAUCGCGAGGCAUGACAUGUAGUUCAAUAUCGAGUAAAUGUAUAAAUAUCUGUUUUAUAUUAUUGGACUAACCUGAUGCAGUGCCUCAUUAGAUCUAUUGGUUGAACUUUUCCUUUGGGUGGCCGUACUCACUGGGAACCAUGGAGUUGGUUCUCACCCCACGUUGUUUUGGGGUGUUUCAGGUUCGCACGUGAGCGGCGCGGCAGCGCGAGGCAAGGGCGUAGCUCCGUAGAUAGCGCCCUACCCAGAGACCAGAGGUAGCAGUACCCCAAGGUGGUCUAGCUUAGGGGUUUAAAGGACAAAGAAUCAAGUUGUAAUAAAUUGUAUUGACUAGAUUGUAUUUUGGAAGUUGAAUGUAAAAGAAAUCUGUGAUGUAAAAUAUAUGUAAGGUGAAUGCUUGUAAUAGCAAGCAGUUUUAUGUUUUUGAUACUUCCUUAUACAAUCCUUGAUUGAAAUGUGUUCCUGGUUGGAACUUCGUACAUUGUAUGGAUUGCGACGCCUAGGACGUAGAGGGAAAACUCUGUCCGUUCGGCGGUCUGUUUGCGUGCCCGAACCCGACCAAAUAGGUGGGGCACGGGGCGUGAUAGGUAACCUGCACCCACACUGGUUAGGCUCGGGUUCAGGAGGUCGCGGCGGCCACGAAGGUGGCUGGGGAGCUCCGUGGCGAUGACGGUGGGUUGCCAGAGGUCAGAGAAGGGCAAGCCAGGUGGCCCUGAGCAGCAACGGUGCGAGGGGAAGAAGAUAGCUCAGCCUCGACCCGGUGCUGCCCAGUUUGACCAGAGCUUGCCAAGAUGGCAACGGCGGCACUCGGGGACGGCGGCGACCGACUGGGGAGGUCGUUAGGGGUCGGGGUGGCUGUCAGAGGAGGAGCCUGAGCGUGUGAGGCCUCCAUGGUAGAAACUCGGGCAGAGAAAGGUGAAGGUAGUGAUGAAGAUGAUGGAGGAGAGGGAGAAAGGCUGAUUUCAGCGACCGACGGCCUGCGUAGGUGGCCGGGGCGCCUACGGCUAGGGCAGGGGGAAGAGAGGGAGGCGGCUAGGGCUCAACUGAGGUUGCUAGGGGGCUAGGGUUAAGGUUUGCUUCAUGUAAACCCUAAUAGCCUAUAUACAAGGUGGUUUAAUUGUGCAUAAGUCCACUGAAACUCAGUAUUUGAUGCUGAGUCCCCCAUAGUGCGGGUAAAAUGCACGGAUAUACCUUCAUGUUCGAAAUCACGCAAAACGAUGCAUAAAAUAUAGGGUGUUUUGUGGAUUUUUUGUUUUGCCAAUUUCGACAUCUUUGCGAACAUUUUGAAUUUUUGGGAGAUCCGUCCGUCAGAUUUGCGAACGGACUAUGCUAGUGUGUUCAGAACAACCGGGGCAUCGAACUCACGAUUUUGUUUUGCUCGAAUUGAUCGCCGAUUUGUGACGAAAGCUAUACUCUCUCCAAUUUUCAAAAACCACACAUAUAUAUGUGUAAAUCAAAUAAACCCCAAAUUCAAAUUCGAAGUUGAAUUCCCUACCAUUGGUAGGUACCUAAAACAUCCUCCACCCUACUCCAAGACACACGCAUGGAGCACGAGAAGUUUUACAACGCAAGAACAACAAAGAACAAAAACCCUCUUUGCGAUAAAAUCCUUUUUUCUCGAAAAUCGUGCAUCAAAAUUCAAAUCCGUCAGUGUCAUUGUGUACAGGACAGUCGAACUAUUAAAAAGUGCUAUUGGAUCACUAUAAACGAAGUCCAAAACACAGCAAAAGCCAUCUCCACUCAUUGGCCUCUUCGGAAAAUCCGAGUUACUAUUUACUUUAAGUGAUUAGUAAAGGUUGCGUAACUUCUUCAUCCUAACUUGUUUUCUUCUGAAACUUGAUGAGUGCUUAUGUAAUUAAAUUACACAUAAAAAUAUCAUCAACAAAGAGUUUAGCUACACAGUCAAAUUCUCAGUCCUCACACACAAUCAUCCCAACUGUACAAUUCUUGAUCCAACAAUCGAAAAGACGGAAGCAUCAAAUCAUCUAUAUUUUCGGUAGCAUAGUAGCUCUACACACACACACACACACACACACACACACACAUAUUGGUUUUAUUAUUUGCUUUGGCUUGAUAUCUAAUUAAUUAGACUAGUGCAGGGCCCGCGCUUCGCUGCGGGUAGAUUGUAUUUCAAUCAAUUGACAUAUAUAGUAAUUAAACUUAUAAGAUUAAAAAAUGAUAACUAAAUAAAAACAUUAUCAAAUAGUGUUUCGUACUAUCAUGCCUCGAAGUCACAGCGGAAGCCUACGGGACGCUAACAGACCCGCCGAACGGACAGGGUCUCCUCUGUCCGAACGAAGCGGUAAGUCCCAGGUAAACAAGGAAAUAUAUAGCCAAAUACGACAAGCAAAUCAGUACCAAAAUCAACAAAACUACGAGAAAACUAACGAUAAGUAUCAUAGCACUAUACAUCAGCUGAACCACUAUACAGCAAGAAACAAGUAACAAAGAUACAUAAAUCCACACCGAAAACCAAGUACAAGUUAUUGGCCCUGGCCCAUGCCAAUCCAAAAGAAAGUAUAGUGGCUCAUUAUCGGGAGGUCUGUUAUAGGCAAGUAUGGUGGUAGGAAGGCUAACUAGGCGCAAUUCCCUUACCACGCUCAGCGGACGAUACACCUGUCACUGAAAAAGGAGACCACAAAAGGGCGUGAGAACUACUAAUAGCAGUUCCCAGUGGGUACGAUCGACGAUAACCAUGACCCUCCCACUAGGUCUAAAUAAGCAAAAGUAAAUGAAAGAGCGAUAACUAAGGAAAGAAUAGAGAGCAAAGCUGCAGCAUAGUGUAAAGUAAGGAUCCACAUGUAGAAAAGUAAACACUUGUAUUUAUAUUCCGUGACAUAGAAGUAGAGUGGUACUGACACUUGCAUUUAUAUUCAAGUUAACCUGAGUGGUCGGUGCCCAUGUACUUAUAAUGUAAUUAAUCUCACACUUUCCAAUUGACCAGAGUGGUCGGUUGCGUAUUCGAGAGGAUAUUGAGCUUGUCCAUCCUAGUUGACCUGAGUAGUCAGUACUUAUGUUCCCGUAUAGCUUCGAUGACCUGUUGGUGAGUGUGCCCCGAGUGAUGAUUGUCGGCUAUUCACCGACGGUUGACUAUUGAUCAUAUUCGCAUUGAUCAUCAUAGCUCGAGAACAUUUUACGAACACUAGCGAUCUGAUGCUCACAGGAAGGUGUUCUUUUCUAAAAAAGUGGUUCGUUGCCAACCCGUGAACCCAGCGGCCAUUGCUAGGGUUAUAUGCCAGACAAAGCAGUUGUGGCUUGCCUGAGGUUCUUGGAUCGACACGGCAGUAUAAAUUAGGUACAUUUGGACUUUUCAUGUCACGCCCCGGAUUACCACGUUUCCUCGGGCACGCCAACAGAUCCGUCGUAUAUAUAGAAAUUUUUCGUGUAUACGAAGUGAUAGCCGUACCUGUAAGCAAGUCAUAGCUACAACCAAGAGUAUAGAGCUGCUAGAACUAAAACAUACAUAUAUAGAACAAAAUGGGUUCACUGUACAUAUACAGGUCUACAACACCUCCUCGCUCCAGCGAGUAACACAACAACAACAACAACAGUAUGUACAAAAACUCAAAACUACCUCUGAUGGGUGCUCCUCUAGCAAACGACUAGGGAAGGGACGGCUCUAACUCGCGCCUUCCUUGCCUCGAUCAGAAUCCACAACAGUAGCAGCCGUAGACGAAGGCUUUGCAAAAAGGUACCAACAACUGGAUGUGAGAACUAUUAUAAAACAGAGUAGUUCUCAAUGGAUACCGUCACUGUAACACACUGGACCUUUGCAAAUUGCAAGGUUCGAGUGUUUGAUCUGUGUUCUGAGCUUUUUCACUUUUUCUGGAGGAUCGUAGACAGUGUUCCGACCUAUGGCUCACAUCCCGAGAAACGAGGGUUUUAACUUAGCCCUAAGGUCCCCAAAGAGAAGUACUUAGGCUGCUCUCGGGUUGAGUUCUGCAGGGUUGUGUACCGGUACACCUUAAUGGUUGUACCGGUAUAGAAGGUUAAUUUCAGCCAACCCGAGCCUGGGUUUGCGCGUAUAGGGUUUUGUACCGGUACACUUUUUCGUGUACCGGUACACAAUGUAGUUCACAGACUGCUUAUUUUUGGAGGGUGUUUUUGCAUUUGUUGCUUAUCUAUAAAGCAUCCCACGCCCCCUCUAGGUCUCCUUGUGUUGAGAACAGGAUAAAGCAAGGUAAGGGAGCCCUCCAACCCUUCUCUUUGAUUCCGUUGAUUUUGUUGGGAUUUUUGAAGUUUAAUUACUUCAUUUUGCUCCUUUUUGCUUCUCGGUGGUAUUUCCACAAUUGUUGAAGGCUUGGAGCUUGGAGUUGAGCUUGUUAGGGGAGAGAUCUUUAACCCUUGUGGAUUUUGAGCCUUGUUUGAAGCUUCUCUUGAGGUUAGUAACAUGAUUCUACUUUUAGAUUCAUGUUUUGAUGGUUUCUUUGAGAUGAAAUCCUAGAAUGGGAAUUUAGGGUUAAUUUUGGGGAUCUUGAUUAGAAGCUUUUGGAACUCAAUUGAUUAAGUUAGAACCUUUGUUUAGGUUGGAUUUGGAGAGAUCUUACUCUCAUUUGGGAUUUAAAAAGGGUUCUUUACACUAUAGGUGAGUUUUACCCCUUUUCUUGAGGUGUUUAAUGUUUAACUUAUAUGUUGUUCGUAACGUUCGUAUAACUCUCCUUUUAUUACCUUUAGGGUGCUAGGAGAAUUAUGGGCAACUUCGUUCGAUGAAACGAAAUGGUUGUAACGAGACUUGGUGGGUUUGGCCUCACCAAAAUGAGAUAAAUUUCUCAUUAGUUGUUUAUACUUGUCGUAAAAUAAAACUUUAUGCAUAUUCACGCUAGAUAGAAUAAUUGUGAAUUUUAGAAUGCUUUAAAUGCUCAUGUUAUGUACAAUGCAUAUUUGGAUCUCUAUAUAGUAGAGAGUAUUUAUGUUGGACUUAUGCAUAUGGAUAGCAUUCUUAUAUGUGAUUUGGGAAUAUGUUUCAUACGAUGAAUAUGACAAGUGCAUUAGACUCUUGGACUUGAACUCAUGCUUGGCAUAGGAGAAAACAUAAUGUCAUAAAGAGGCAUUGGGCUUGGAAUUGAUAUAGUAAGCUAAUGUCAUAAAGAGGCAUUGGGCUUGGAAUUGAUAUAGUAAACUAAUGUCAUAAAGAGUCAUUGGGCUUGGAAUACGUAUGGACUUAGUAAAUCUAAGGUCACAAGAGACAUUGAAAUUAAUGUGUGGUUGAAUCUUACUUUGGGACAUUGGACUAAACCUUUAGGGUGCUAGUCACUAUUGCCAUGUUAGAAACAGGAUGAUCGGAUUCUUGAGACGAUGAUCAUGCUUGCUUGCCAUUUGUGCUCAUUCGCACAUGCUUGUGAGGGCCGCUCCCUACAAGCCGGCACUCCGGAGUUAGCCUACGCGACUUAUGAUCGUUCGUGCGGUAUUGAGAAGCCUACGGGGCCGGGUGGGAUAGACUCAUUCUUCGAGUGGGAAUGCUGAGGCUACCACGAGCACUUAAGCGGCACAAGCCGGACUAUCUUGUGUAGAUACUUAAUUAAAAAUGAAAAUCGACACGUAGUCAUACAAGUAACAAUCACUACUAGACAGUUCAUAAUAGUUGGAUUUAUUGGGCUUUUGGACAUGUAGUAUACUUGAUAGUAUUGCUUUUGCAUUAUAGCAUACUUGUUUGCCAUGUUGGAGCAUGCUAGUCAUGUAUUGGUAUAUUGGACUAUGAUAGAAUAGAUGUACACCAUGUUGACAUUAUGUAUAUUUGUGGCAUUGUAGAUUAGCAUUUCAUUACAUGCUUUUCAUAUUUGGAGCUUACUAGUAGUUUCUUUUAUCUACUCAUGCUUUUUGGCCUAGUGGUGCAUUUUGCUCAGGUCAGUAAUUGUCCACUGAGAACUAUAAAUUAUAGUUCUCACGCCCCCUGUUUUAUAUUUUAUUUCAGAACCUCCCACUCCGGGAGAGGCUAGGGACCGCGGCAAGGGUGUCGCUUCGAGUUAGCGAGCGAGGGAUCUUGCUAGGUGGAUCAUUUUCUUCUUUUAUUUUCGUUGGAGAGAAUGAGAGCGUUUGUACCCUACAUAGAGACUACCAUUUUGGAUAUUGUAGUACUUGUAUUUAGGAUAGUUUGAUGUAUUCACUCUAUAUUUUAUCUUAGUUAUUAGUUUCCUUUCUCUCUACUUGUUGUUAGAAUUUAACUGCUACUUGCUCUGAUAUCUCUAGAUACUUAUUUAUUCUUAUCAUUUAUCGCUAUUGUUGUAGACGCCUUAUAUGUGCAGGCAUAUGGCGGGCCUGGGCAUGCUACCGGGAGGGCCUCUGUCUGUCCCAGGGCGUGACAGUCACCGACCUCAACGACUCACCUACUAAGUCUACAGUAUUGAUAUGCACAGGAUAGUAAGGAAAGCUGGAAAACUCUACAGCUACAUACAUCUAUACUAUCGCUAGACUGUAGACAUAAACAUGCAUCACCAGCUACCACUGACCUAAUCAUACGGGCUGCCCAAACGGACCCACCCCGCUUGUAACCAAGCUACACCGUACACCACCCACGGGGAUGGCCAGUUCAAGAAAAAGGUCCAAACAGAAUGGCUGCGACAUCAAUACAAGUCAAAGCCUCACUUCGGAGCGACACUUGUGGGCGCGACCUAACCGAGUAUGCAAGCGUGUCUCUGCCGAGCUCAAUCAGGCUUUCACAGGUUAUAGUCAAUGUAAAUGGGUCAAACUGGUCUAACAAUCAAAGCUCACGUGCCCUGGGCACAAUCUGCAAGAUACAGAAAUCUUGGACCAUCGUCAACCACGGUGGCAACCGACAAUACGGAACAAUCUAUACUCUACUGUAAAACGAGCUCAGCCCCUCAGCACGAGCGUAAACUCGCCCUAUACUAAUCUGAGUAUCCCGUACACACUAAUAGCAGGGAUAGAAAAGAACAACAACUCCUGAAGUUAAAUCUGGUAACUUUUAAGAAAAUGACAGUAUAGGUUUAGUGAGUUUUCUCCUAAGUCAAAUCCUAGUUCAACAUGUAUAAUUUCGUCUAAAAUCACUAAUUUAUGCUCCAAAUUCAGAUUUUAUAAAACAUACACAUCGAUGAAUUCGAGCCACUAACAUGAUGAAUAAAGCCAAUAAAACAUGCUGACAAUUCUAUGACUUAGAAAAAAAUCCAACGAUUUUGGUAAAUAUUAACCCACCUUGAGCGCCCGUCCAACGUCGGCAAAAAGUCGACAGGAGAAUUCCGCGCGCUCGCCCGACCUCCAAAGGUUCACCCGAGACGACCCAUGCACACGAACGGUCCUCCUAGCAAGCGAAGACUCCACACGAGCUCAACCCUCGACCUCCCCAAUGCACGGCGUAUACCAGCUAGAGAGAGGAAGAGGAGACGUAUCCUGCUCUCUAAAAGCUCCCUAUGCAUUUAUAUAGUCCGGGUUAGGUUGGGAUGAACGACACAUCAAAAGGACCAAAAUGCCCCUUAUCAACUCACUUUUCCACCUGAAAUACCGGUGCUCAGCUUGAAUACCGGUACUCAGCCCCUCAAUUCGCACUCUCGCGCGCUGGGUACCGGUACUAGCCCGUUGCAAUACCGGUACCUGAGCUCAAUAUCGGUACAGAACAACAGGUAUCGGUACUCAGCAUGAGACAUGCGCAAACCCGAAAGCAUCGAAUUCUGAAAUCUCACUAGGGUAUUGGUGCUUCUCCCCAGGUACCAGUACUCAACACUGAAAUCUUGCACUUUGCAGACUUCAGUGUCAGAACUCCACUUUGGCAUCGCGUUGAGUUCGUUUUGCGUCCAUUUCGUGCCAAAACGACUCCGACUUGUCUCGACACCCACCAGAUGUGUCGACAAGCCACAGAUGCUGAAAUCACACAUACUGCUAAACGCAAGGAACACUACAUUUCAUCCGGUUGACGCAUAUAGCUAUAGUAGUGAUUGCUGCAUGCUUGCUUACAGUUCAUCGCUUUUUACAUUUACAUUGCUACUAUAGGCCUUUUUUUACCUAUACUUGGUUACCGGUGAGUAUGCUUGCCUUCAUCGGCUUGUGGUACCCAUUGGGAGACCCUUGUUGGUUUCUCACCCCUAUUUCUUCACAGGUGGUAUGGGUGGGAUUGGUUGGGACACACCGUGAUGCCGUAGCUAGUAGGCGGUCUUAGAUGUCUCGAUCUAUGGUAUAUAUUUUGACUAUACUCCAUACUUAGCAUAAAUAUACAUGUGAUAGCAUAGUUUACCCUUACACCUGAUAGUAGAUAUUUAUUUGUGGUUCAAUUUGACAUUCUAUACUUGCGGAUUUUUGGAUGAUACACUUAUGAGGUUUUGGAUACUUGUAGUUUUGAAAAUCUUGUGGCUUCAGUUUUGGUUUUCAAACGUGGCUUCCUACCCCUUGUGGUCGUGUUUUCAAGAUAAAGGUUUCCGCGGGAAAUGACUUUCAAAUGAUUUUCUUUGGACUUUCUACUUCUUGUGGUAGUAUUUUCCAAAAUAAAGGUCCCUAAGUGGGGGACAGUUUUCAAAAUAAUUUUCUACGAUUUUUCGUUGAAGUUAGGUUUUCAAAUGAAGUUAUCGUGUGGGAGACAUUUUCAACUAAUAGGAAUGAAUGAAUGAAUGUGAAUGGAUGUGACUAAGGAUGAUUAGAUGUAUAUUGGUGUUGAGCCAAUUAGGCGCGGACAUGUGGUACGCCGGUUUUCCCUUUAAAGGCAUAAAUCUGGCCGUGCACAAGGAGCACCAGAAAAGUUUUAAAGUAAACCGUCGUGCCAAUUGAAGGAAGUUACAGUAACCGCAAGCAGCUGCAUGCGGUUCCGAUCGACUGGAGGUGGUCCGGAAUAUUAGGAGAUAGUGGCCGAUCGUGUAAGAGCAAUAACUGAUCAAGGGGCGAUCUAUAAAUAGAGCAAUAACGCCCUAAAAAAGGGUCUUUUUACCUGUGAACAAAAGACUACCCUUAAUUCCUCGCAAUUUCCUACAUUUUUUAGGAGUAGUCUACUUGUAAUUUUCUCUUUCCCGCAUUUACUGUUCUUACUAGGAGUAGUUUUAAGUAGAUCAACUGAGUCUGCAUGCCAUCCGGCACACUCGACCUCUGUACUUCUCAUCAGUGAAUAUAAAGGCAUUCGGCUCAUUCAAGCCGAUCAAUUCCUUUGCUCUAUAGCCAUUCGGCUCCUCGGCCGACUUCAGCUCUUGCUUUGUCUGUACAUUCGGCUCAUCCAGCCGAACCGAAUUUAGUGUAGAGUUUCGAACCCGGCAGAUCCGAUCCCUCAUAAGCCGAAGCUUUUGAUCGAUCGAAGGGCGCAAACUUCGAGGGUCAGUACUAUAAGCCGUUUCCAUCCCGACACGCUUCUCGAGGAGGGUCUUUGACCGGGUCAAGGACCGGGGAUUUCGGCUACCAAUAAUUUUUGGCACGCCUAGUGGGACACAUUUGAGGUAACUUUUAUUUUUUAUUAAUAUAAUGGCUGAUGAUAAUACCAUGAACUUACGUAAUAGGGUCGUUCCUAGAAAUUCUGGGAGCGAACAGCCCGACAAUUCAGAAAAUGUUGCCAAACGCCAAGCGGUUUUGCCUGCUGAAGGUGAAACUAGUGGCCAAUCCGGCCAGCAAGAGCCUAGUUUGGCUCAGGUGCUUGGGCAAAUGACUUGAGUCUUGCAAGUUCUAGAUCAAAAUAGUCAUGCUAGUACUGCACGGCUAGACGCAGUGUUGGCCGCAAUCACGGCCUCUAAUGAGAAUAUUGCUCGAAUAGGGCAAUUAUUAACUCGUAAUGAACAACCGAUAGCAGGCUUACAAACGCCUGUGAUGACACCGGUGUUACAAAAUCCCGUAACACCGGUAAAUGGACAACCCCAAUACCAGGGGGCACCUUACCUUGCAGCUUAUAGACCGGCUGUCGUUAAUGCCGGUCAACAGCCAGAGAUAGCAUGGGGGUUACUGCCUCCUCUACCAAUAGCAGUAUAUCAGCCCCAAAAUGUAGGGGCUAGGGGGCAGGUUCCAAAUGUACAAGGAGUUAACCCUGUGGUACAAAAUUUCGGUCUGCCAUGAGGACCGAAUCCAGCAAAAGCGCAAGUCCCCUUACAGGGGAUUAAUAAUAAAAUAUAUGCACAGAUCGAGGAAGCCAUCUGAAAUACCUUCGGAGUAGGCGCAAGACCGGCAAUGCGGCCUGUAUUUAGAUCACCUUAUCCUGCGAAUAUAGACACAGAACAUCCAUACUCGGCAAAUUGAAAAAUACAGAAGUUCGACAAGUUUUCUGGGGAUGAGACCCAAAAUACGGUUGAACAUGUUGCACGGUUCACGGCACAAUGCCGAAAAGCCGCAGCAGAUCCAUUUUUAAAGUUAAGAUUAUUUAACACCUCACUAACCAAGACGACGUUCACUUGGUAUACAAGUUUGCCGGCUAAUUCCGUCCGGGAUUGGGACGAAUUAGAAGGAAAAUUUCAUAAACAAUUCUAUAGAACCGAACUAGAAUUAUCGGUUGCCGAUUUGGCUCAGUUCAAACAGAGAACGGGAGAAUCGGUUGAGGAAUAUUUGAACCGAUUCAAGAUGGUUAGGAGCCGUUGUUUUGUGAGAAUGCUAGAGUUGGAGUUUGCCAAAAUGGCAUUUAACGGAUUGCAUUUUAAAAUUAAAGAUCUUUUUGAAGACAAAUACUUUUCAAAUCUUUUCGAUUUGGGAGUUCGGGUUCCUCAAUAUGAGCAAUUCCGAAAAGGAAAUAAUGAAGAUAGGCCCAGAUGGAGCCGAAACAAAGAGUGAAACAAAGGGAAGGAGAAAAUUGUCUCAUUCCUUGAAGAGUCUUCGGCUUAUGAGGAGCCGAAUUCAUCUGAAGAGGCUGAAGAUUUGGCUUAUGAAGCCGAAGUAUAUACAGCCGACAUUGUAAAAAGUCGACAGCCAUACAAAUGUGCUUUGCUGAAGCCCGCUAAGUCAAGCGAGGCAAAAGCACGGGUGUCGGCAUACACAUAUUCGUUUGAUGUAUCAAAGACCGAUCUAAUUUUUGAUUGGUUGCUAAAAGAUGGUUGAAUUCAAUUGCAGGAGGGUCAAACAAUACCUCCUGUGGAAGAAUUAAAACGUAGAUGAUAUUGCAAAUGGCACCACUCAUGGAGCCAUAAGAUAAAUGAAUGCACUGCCUUUAAGAGGCAGAUUCAAAAAGAAAUAAAUGAGGGUCGACUCAUAUUUGCCGACCAAGAAAAUAAAAAUAUGAAAAUUGAUAAGAAUCCUUUUCCAUCCGAUGUCAAUAUGGUGAAUACGAAAGGAAAAAGUAAAGCGACUGCAAAAAGGCAGAUCCAAAAAGAAAUAGACGAGGAUCGGCUUAUUUUAGCCGAUCAAGAAAAUGAAAAUACAGGAAUUGAGAAAAAUUCUUUUCUGUUACAGGUUAACAUCGUGAAUGCUAAAGGAAAAGAGAUUGCGGACAAAAAGACCGCAGAAAAUAUUGCGCACGCCAAAAGGAACCUUCGGUUUUGUGUAAGAUGCAAAGCCGAAAUGACGAAAAAAGAUUGGGAAGCCAUUAUCAAUGACAAAAAGAAAGGCAACGAAUGGAAUGAAUUGAUGGCAUUCCCCGAGGAAUGGGAUGACAUUCCUGAAGGAGAUGAUCAAGAAGAGGAUGGCUCAAAUAAUACCUCCAACGAGACGGAACCGGAAGUCAUUUCGGUUCAACACAAAAAAGAUUUAUUGAUGCAGAAAGUUUUGCAUGACUACUACCAUAACCGAUGAGAUGAACCUUAUAGCCGAUGGAGUUAUCCAGAAAAACCAUUCGGCUCAAAGCAAAGGUUUCCUGGGUAUCGGCCGCACUGGCAGCAUCAAGCCAGGCCGAGACCAGAACCGGAGUUCGAAUGAAUGACUGAGAGAGACAUAGAAUUCCUUGGUCGAAGAUUGGUCAAUAAGCUCGGCAUUCAGCCCUGACCGAGACCUUGAGAAAGAAGAGAAAUCUUAAAAAAUUAUUUAAGAACAGUGAAAGUACCGGCAAAUGUGCCGGUAGACAAGUGGCAUGAAGUCGAAGUAAAACCAUCGGCCAGAUGGCAAGGGCUGAUGUUAACAAAGACACAAAAACGCCGGCAGCAGAGGAUGCAAGCCGAGGCGAGGCAACAGUACGACGAAGCGAAAGGGAUAAGACUGAAUGUGUGGAGACGGCCUAAUGAACCACCACAUCUUUUUUGCAUGAUGCGAGACAACCACGAGGCAGGUGGCUCAUCGCCUGUUCCUUGGUUGAAAUCGAAAAUUGAAUAGCCGGUUUCGGCCGAGCAGGAGGAGAAGAUGACUAGGAGGGAGUUAGAGGACAAGAUAGCCUCCCUCGAGACAAUCAUUAAACAAAAGAGAUGGCCUCCUAAGGAGAGGGAGGUACGGAUCGAAAGCGACUCGGCUAAGACAGCUAAGGAGUCUGAAGAAAAGAAAUAAAGGAUUCAAGAAAAAUCGGGUGAUGAAGGACCAGCCAAUGUCAACAUGGUUUAUACUCUGCCACAAUCCUUUAAAGCAGAGUAUACUAAGUAUGAGGAGAUGGAGGAAGAAGUUGGGCUCAAUAUGGCCCAAUUACAAUUAGAGGAUGCCAAACCGACCGAUGCGGUGGUUUUCGAGAAACCAUCGGCCAUACAGACGAGGUUCGUGAGUCCUUUGUUUAUUCGAGCCUUAAUCGAAGGUCAGCUAGUAGGCCGAGUCAUGGUGGAUGGCGGAGCGAUGGUCAACGUCAUGCCCACUUCAUUCUUCAAGAAGUUGGGCAAAGAUGAAGAUGAAUUGAAGCUCACUGAUACAAUUAUGACCGACUUCACUGGUAGCGGUGAGCAAGCUCGAGGAGUGCUCACGACCGAGAUAACGGUAGGUUCUAAAACUUUACGAACUGUAUUUUUUGUGGUGGAUGCAGAUAGCCACUACAACCUACUGCUCGGACGCGAUUGGAUACACGCAAACGAGUGCGUGCCUUCUACCCUCCACGAAAAAUUAUUCCAGUGGAUAAGAGAUAAAGUUGAAGAAAUCCAGGUCGAAGGACGGCCCCAAAUAGUGAUAUCAACGCAGAAGAGGUCGGCCACAUCAAUUGGGCCGACGCUGAUCCAGACCAAAUCUCUUUUGUAAGAGUUACGAAAGAGGGGAUUCAGUUAAUUCUCUCUAAAGACGAAGAAGCUAUGGUGGCAGCCGAAGAGCCACCAAGUUGGCUAAAAUGGAACAAGAAGAAUCAAGAACCAAAGUUUCAGAGGAGCUUCAGCAAGAAGAGACGAUCGACAGGAUCGGCUGUGUGAUAAAUUCGGCCCAACAGGCCGAUGAUGUGGUGUACAACAUGAAGGCCGAAACGGCCAAUAAUGAACAUGUAGUAAAAUCGGUUGUUAAAGCCGAUAUGAAAAAUAUGGGGAAGUCGGCUGUUAUAGCAGAAUGUGAUACAUCAAAUGAAAUGAUUAGGCGAACAACUGACUUGAACUUAGAAGAAUCGCCUAUCAAAGUCGGUAAUAAAAAGUUGGAAACUCAGGAUCCACUUAUCGAAGUAAACUUGGGAUCCAAUGGACACAAGCAGUUGACCUAUAUUAGUGCCAGACUUUCGGCUCAACAACAGAAGGAGCUGAAAGAAUUGCUGAAGGAGUACAAAGAUUACUUUGCCUGGAGUUAUGAAAAAAUGCUAGGUCUAAGCCGAAAAGUUGUAGAACAUAGGCUACCUAUUGAAAAAUGAUAUAACCCUUACAAACAGCCGGCUCGUAGGUUUGAGCCGAGUAUUGUACUCCAAAUUAAAAAUGAAAUAGAAAAUCUUUUAAAGACUGGUUUUAUUAGAGCGGCUCGUUAUAUUGAUUGGGUAUCCAACAUAGUUCCAGUACAAAAAAAGAAUGGCAAAUUUAGAGUUUGCAUUGAUUUCAGGAACUUAAAUUUGGCUACACCUAAAGAUGAAUACCCAAUGCCAAUAGCUAAUAUAUUAGUAGAUUCGGCUGCCGAUAAUAAAAUCCUGUCUUUUAUGGACGGCCAUGCCGGCUAUAAUCAAAUUUUCAUUGCUGAAGAAAAUGCAGCUAAAGCAACCUUUAGAUGUCCAGGAUCUACUGGAACCUUUGAAUGGGUAGUCAUGCCGUUCGGUUUAAAAAAUGCCGGAGCUACUUAUCAAAGAGCAAUGAAUUUUAUUUUUCAUGAUUUGAUCGGCAAGAUGUUGAAAGUUUAUAUCGAUGAUAUAGUUGUGAAAUCCAAAUCACAAGCCGAACAUUGGGUAGAUUUAAAGCUCGCCUUUGAAAGAAUGAGAAAAUAUAAUUUGAAAAUGAAUCCUUUGAAAUGUGCUUUUGGAGUCUCAGCAGGAAAUUUAUUGGGAUUCUUGGUACAUAAAAGGGGAUUGAAAUCGAUAAAAAUAAGGCGAAAGCUAUAUAAGAAUUGCCGUCAUCAAAAAGCAAAAAAGAAUUGCAAAGCUUAUUGGGAAAAAUCAAUUACUUGUGGCGAUUUAUAUCGAAUUUGGCUGGUAGAAUAGGGGUUUUCAUUCCGUUACUUCGGCUAAAAAGUAAAGAGGAAUUUGUUUGGACAGAAGAACAACAAGUAGCAUUUGAAAAUAUAAAGAAAUAUUUAACAAAUCCUCCAGUACUUAUGCCUCCUAAAUAAGGACGGCCGAUGAAACUAUACAUUUCGGCUACAGAGGAUAAUUUGGGAUGUUUGUUGCCCCAAGAAAAUGAAGAAAAAGAGGAACAUGCCAUUUAUUAUCUAGCCGACGGUUAUUAGAUACAGAAAACAGAUAUUUGGCUAUCGAAAAAUUAUGUUUGGCUUUAUAUUACUCUUGUUCAAAAUUAAGAUAUUAUAUUUUAUCAACUGAAGUAUCGGUAAUAUGUAAAACCGAUCUGAUAAAAUAUAUGAUAUCUAAGCCAGUUCUGAGAGGACGAAUUGGAAAGUGGAUGUUAGCCUUAUCUGAAUUCUCCCUCAAUUAUGUUCCGGCAAAAGCUAUUAAAGGACAAGCGAUAGCUGAUUUUCUGGCUGAUCAUCCAUGUGUUGAAAUCGAGGAGCCGAAACAAAAUUUAAUCGGCUGUCAACCUUGGAUACUUUACUUUGAUGGCUCAAGAACAGCCGAGUCCGCGGGAGCUGUAAUAAUUAUACAGUCUCCUGAGGGAUAUUCAUGUCAAUUUUUUUUUAGCUAGAUUUCGGCUGCUCUAAUAAUUAAGCCGAAUAGGAGGCCUUAAUAAUUGGCCUCGAGAUUUUACAAAAUUUAGGAGUUAAGUCAAUCAAGGUCAUCGGUGAUUCACAGUUAGUAAUUAAACAAGUGAAUGGAGAAUACCGAUGCGAAAACCGGAAUUUGCAAAAUUAUUUAAGAAAAAUAAUAGAAUUGAUAUGCAAUUUCGGAGAAGUUCAAUUUAAGCAUAUGAUCAGAGAGAAAAAUGAACAAGCAAAUGAAUUAGCCCAAUCGGCUUUACGGUAUAAGGAACCGAAAUGAGGUCUAAUAAGAAUUGAAAGAAGGUUGUUACCUUCGAUUCAUGUUCGAGAGCCGAUUAUUGCUCCUAUAGAGAUGAAAGAGGAUUGGAGAAAAUCCAUAAUUGAGUAUUUAGAAGACCCCAACAAAAAGGUCGACUAUAAUAUUCGAAGAAGAGCACUCGGCUAUUGUUUGUUAGAUGGACAGCUCUACAAGAGAACAGCCGAAGAAAUAUUAUUGUUAUGUUUAGGGCCUGAUGAAGCUUUAUUGGUGAUGGGGGAAACUCAUGAGGGUUUAUGUGGAGCCCAUUUAGCAGGAAAAAGAUUAAGAUGGAUAAUUCGGCACUUAGGUUAUUAUUGGCCGACUAUGCAUCAAGAUUGCAUAGAAUAUGCUAAGGGUUGCCAAGAUUGUCAAUUUCAUGGAUCGGUACAGAGAGUUCUUGCUUUUGAGAUGUAUGCUAUAAUUAAACCGUGGCCUUUUCGAGGUUGGGCCAUGGAUUUGAUUGGAGAAAUUCAGCCAAAUUUCUCGGCUUGUCAUAAGUUUUUAAUAGUAGCCGUUGAUUAUUUUACCAAGUAGAAGUGAAACCUGCUCGAUUGGUCACUUAAAAAGAAAUUAUUGACUUCGUUGAAGACUCAAUAAUUCAUCGCUUUGGGAUUCCCGAGACGAUCACAACCGAUCAAGGAACAAUGUUCACAGGAGGUCAAAUCCAUGGCCCAACCAGCAGAAGAAAUGUCUGAUCGAUCGGCCAAGUCAAGUGAAAGUGCGCACAGCCUAUCAAAUUGUUCUGGAUUCUGAGCCAAAUAUGGGAGACCUUGACUAUAUAAUCGUAGAUACUCAUCAAAUUAUUGUUGAGUGUCUAACGACAUCACAAUGAUAGUUGAAUCAUCUCCUUCAUUAGAAUUUGGGCUCGAAACUAAAAGAGAGUGAAGAGUUACAGACAGAGGAUCUUCUGGAAUAGACGAUGAAGCUUCAGGAGGCAAAUGGGCAAAUGAGUCUCUGUUCGUGCUCCUUCAACGCCCUUUUCCAAAGGUGCAUUCACAUUUUCUCCUUCUGUUGUUGGCAUUGGUGAUGCUGCACUAUUUGUUGGCAACUCUUGGGUCUUUCCUUGAGUUGCCCUGUUCUUUUCUGCUUCUUGCCUCUUUUUGAGGCGAGCUUCACGACGGAGUUGCCUAUCCAUCUGCGUCUUCAAAGAAGGAGCAAAAUGGAUUCUUUCAGGAGAAGACUGUUUUAUUAGGAGGAAAGAAUAAAUAAAUGAAGAAACAAAAAGAUUGAGUAUAGAUAACCAAAAUUGGUUUACCUCAAUCUCAAUCGGCUCGUUCGAAACAGAGCUUUGCUCGGCAGCCGAAGAUGAUACUUCAGUUCUUUCUUUUGGAGCAUCAGCCAAAGGUGUUUCUUCGGCUCUUUUUUCUGAAAUUGUAACCGAAGGUAUUUCUUCGGCUCUUUUCUUUAAAAUAUCAGCCGAAGAAACGCCUUCGGUUUGUUGGGAAUACGAAUACGGUCUCUUGACGACCGACUUGCGCCGCUUUGGAGGCGGCGGAGUAGAUUGUGUAGUUUCCGUCGGCCUUUUCUCUGAAGCUGGGACCGAUGGAGAAAUCGGAAUUAACUACAAAAAAGGAAAAGUAAGCACUAUAUAUACCAAGAAAAGAAAAUUAAAAGAAAAGCAUGGUGUAUUACAGAAGAAGGAGGGAUAUCGGAGAUAUGAUCGGAAAUCUCUUCUGAUGCUUCUUGUAGUACAGAUGAAGCGGCGGUAUUGUCCGGAAGACAUUUGCUUGAAAAAGGCACUAUAAAUAGAAAAUAAAUAAGCAAGAAUUAUGUCGAGCAGAAAAUUUUCUAUAAGUAAGAGACAUACCAAUUGGGCGAAUAGUUUUGCGGUGUGCUUGUGAAGUAGACAAAUUGAAAGUAAUAUUGACAAAACGAUCCCAAUUAACGGUGUAGCGGAAACCUACUACUCCUGUACAAUUUGGCCUGAAGCUUAAUAAUUUGAAGAAUCGCAGAAGACGAUUCCCCAUGGCCGAGAUUCGAUCAGCAUCGACUAUGCUUUUGGUGCGAGGACGAUGAACGGCAGUAUUGGCCGUAAAGAACUUAGUUGGAGCAGGGAUUGCUUGUGUAAAUCUAAAUUGACGCGCUGCGAACUGGGGGGAGUAAACCUCAGUACUGGGCAGUAGUUUCGAGUGCGAUUUCAAACCAACGUGCAAAUCCCUUAUAGCCAAAAAAGAGUACCAGACAUCUGAAUGUUCGUCGGCACGGGAAGAAGCAGUUUCACUUUGAAUGGCCUCAUACCUAGCUAAAAACCAAGGUGGGACGGUGACACGAUCAGCAAGAGGAGACCAAGAAAUGAGGAAAUGAGGACCUGAUUCAUAAAAAGCCUUGAAAUAUGUGAUAAAAUCAAGAGGGUUGCCUGAUGUUAACGGCUGAGGACAGCCGAGAGCAAGCCCAUAAGAGUCAAAAUGAGCAGCCGAGUCUAGAUCUAGAGGUUCUCGGCACAAUUUAUGAAAAUAAAUUUGCAGAAACAUUUGCAAAAACCCAAAACACCACAUCCCGAGCUAAUUGUUACACCAUCUCCAGAGGGUAGUGGUUUAAUGGAAUCAAAGAUUUCCCUAUAGACGAAGGCAAGAAAAUAAGGCCCUAGAGCUAAUCUAUCGCCGUUAGAUAAACCAACGGCGAUUGGUACAAAGUUCCGAUUAAUUUUCUGCGAACGAGUACAGAAGAGAUUGUGGCAUAACCAAUAUAGGAGGAACGCUGUAUGUUCUUUCCUAGUGACAGGGGCAGGGGAUUCGCCUGCAAACUUACGGAGGAACUUGGAGUAAGCCAAGUCAAUGAAGUCAUUGAGGUCAAGAUGAGCCUCAAAGUCAGACACGUCAUCAGGAUUAUAAGCCAUAGAGAUGGUAACGCCAUGAGGACGCAGUCCAACGAUAGCGGCUACGUAAAAAAGAGUCGGAGUAAGAGGUCCCCCUCUGAAAAGAAAAACGUUGGAAACAGGGGACCAAAAACAGAGAGCAGAAGUUAACAGAAGGUUGUCGGCUACAGGAGGCUUCCUAGAUAGCCGAAUAGCUUCAUAAAUCCCGAUUUCCUUUCAAGAAUUACCAUAAACAGCUUCCACUCGGUCCAACCAAUCCAAGUAAGCAUCUGAAACACCCGGCUAAGUUCGAAGACUUUUUCCUGUCGAAGCCGAGGAAUACCAGGAGUGAAGAUCAAUGGAUUUAGCUAUAAAUGGAAGACCAUCACUGGAGUAAGGAAAAUCAUCAGGAGUUGGAUCUUCAGUAAAGGAGGGACCCAAGGUUAAUCUAGUGGGGUCUAAAGAGAGAUAUGGUUUAAGUAAAGUAUAAUCUAGCGAAGGACGAGUAGGUAAAGGCGGGAGCGGCGCCAUUACUCGAAGCGAAAAGAAACUAUAGAAUGAAGCAGAAGCCUGAAUGAAAGAAUGAAGAUUAAAAAAAAUCGGAGAAGACGAAGAAGAAGUAAAGAGAAGCGAAAGAGAAGUUUCGCCGGAAAAGACGAGGAAGAAAUAAAAAGGGGAUAGAAAAGACAAAGGGAAUGAGAAGCUUAGGAAAGAAAAAAAGAUCGUCGCAUCGAACCAUUGCAUCAAAACGAGUUCCGAGGUCGGCUAUAAUGAUGAAUAGACGACCGUAAUUAAGAUGACCUAAUUAAUGCCUUAUAUGAAACAAAAAUAGGGAGCGAGAUCGGGGCUGUAAAAAAGAAAAUGGACGGCCAAGAUUGAACCGUACAGAGGAUCACGCCUCGGAUUACGUCAGUUACUCGUACAGAGAAUUUGAAUUUAAUUGGACCGAGAACCACGCCUCGGAUCGCGCUUGUUAUUGAAGCGAUGGUGGGAUUUGGCAGCAGAACAAGUGGACGGUUGAAACGAAACCGUACCAAGAGUUUGAAAAGUAAUCGCGCCUCGGAUUACGCCAGCUACCGAAGCGUUAUUUCGAAAGCUGCCGAGGGGGCAAUUGUUGAGCCAAUUAGGCGCGAACAGGUGGUACGCCGGUAUUCCCUUCAAAGGCAUCAAUCUGGCCGUGCACCAGGAGCACCAGAAAAGUUUUAAAGUAAACCGUCGCGCCAAUUGAAGGAAGUUACAGUAACCGCAAGCAGUUGCAUGCGGUUCCGAUCGGCUGGAGGUGGUCCGGGAUAUUAGGAGAUAGUGGCCGAUCGUGUAAGAGCAAUAACUGAUCAAGGGGCGAUCUAUAAAUAGGGCAAUAACGCCCUAAAAAAUGGUCUUUUUCCCUGUGGACAAAAGACCACCCUUAAUUCCUCGCAAUUUUUUGCAUUUUUUAGGAGUAGUCUACUUGUAAUUUUCUCUUUCCCGCAUUUACUGUUCUUCCUAGGAGUAGUUUUAAGUAGAUCAACCGAGUCUGCAUGCCAUCCGGCACACUCGACCGCUGUACUUCUUAUCAGUGAAUAUAAAGGCAUUCGGCUCAUUCAAGCCGAUCAAUUCCUUUGCUCUAGAGACAUUCGGUUAGAAGUGCAGUACAAAUUCAAAAUUCAAACAAUAAAUGUCGAAAAAUUUAAAAAUAAGUGGAGAAUUAGGCAAUAGUUUUGAAAAGAAAGUACAAUUAUUUUAUGAAAAUCUCUCUGUUGCGACCACAUAAAAUUCAAACUAGAGAUUGUGAGAAGAGAGGAGGAUGACAUCAAGAAGAAGUAUCAUCAACCCUAAUAUUCUACGUUUUAUUUUUCUUACAUAGGAGUAGGCGUAACCUAAUCUAGCAAUAGUGAUAUAUAGAAGCCCUGGUCAGUGGAGAACUGUCCUUUACCAAUCGCUCACAAUUUCUCGAGCCUUCAUUGGACCACCUCACCUUUUGUUGCCGAAUGCUUUCCCAAGAUGCACGCUUUUGUCAGGUGUAGAAUACCACUCCGAUCGCUAUUCUUAUGUAGUGAUUCUAUUAAGCUCAACUUUGGCUUGGAUCAACGGCCGAAACUUGAAAGCCAAAGAAGUUUCUAGACUUCGGCUUGUUUCUAAAUGUCUCAAGGCUGUCUCUCAAGAAUUAAACUUGAUCGGACUGUUUUCUUUCAGACUUACGUCUGAAAUAAAGUUAGAUUUUACCUCUGUAUCAAAUAAUGUCACACUCUGCGAUUUUAUUUACUAACACUGGUAUUGAAGAAAUAAAAAGAAAUAUACUAACAGACCUAAUUUUACCUGCUUCGUUUACUUUAUUUAAAAAUAAACUUAACUAGAAAUAUGAAUCAACUAGUAUUCGAAUUUGAAACCUCGAUCAUCAAGCCUUUUGCCACAUGAUCUAGGGAUGGUUGGUUUGGUUGAGGACUGAAAGUUAAUCCCCAAAAAUUUAUAAUUUGUAUUUACAAACGAAUCAAGAACCGAAAGCUACCUAGUAACCCGAAUCGGACCCCGCGCUCGCGGUUCAUCGCAAACCAUGGGGGUUCGCUCGCGUCUUCUCGCAGUUUCUACCUCAGCUCUCCCCCAUCGAAGCCUCUCCNNNNNNNNNNNNNNNNNNNNNNNNNNNNNNNNNNNNNNNNNNNNNNNNNNNNNNNNNNNNNNNNNNNNNNNNNNNNNNNNNNNNNNNNNNNNNNNNNNNNGUUGUAGUUCUCACCCCACUAUUUCCACAGAGCCGGGACCGAGCGAGCCGGCGAGCUACAGAGGUAAAGGUAUCGCGCCUUAGUAAGAGGCCACCAAAGUUGGGUUUCAUUUUGUAGUAAAGUACCCUAUGAUCAUCUUUUGUAUUUGAUGAUUUAAAAUGUUAAUGUAUAAAGCAAAGAAAAGAAUGUAAAGCUUAUUUGAAGUAGAUGUGAUAUAAAAAGAAAUGAUGCAAUGUGUAAUGAAGUACAAGGAAUCAUGAAUGUAAAUGGAUGCAAUGUAUAUGAUCAAAAACGAAUCAUAGUACUUGUAAAUGUUUAGUUUUCCUUUCUUUCACUAAUGGCUAUUGCUUACCCUCGUGUAAGCCGUUUGUGUAUGUUUCCGCUAAUGCAUUUCUUGUUUGAAUUUGUACAUGUGAUGAGCCUUGGGCGGAUAGGGGAAACUCUGUUCGUUCGGCGUCUGUUUGACGUGCUCGGGCCGGCCCAAAUUGGUAUCGGUCCCGGGGCGUGACAGAAAGAUUUUUCUAACAAUUUUAGAUUCCGGGAUCUUCUCUCCCAAGUUAGCACAUGUAUUGAUUAUGUCUUGGAGUCUAGUAAAGUAAUCGGUAAAAGAUUCAUGCUCAUCCAUUCAAAUAGAAUCAAAUUGACUUGUCAACAUGUCACGCCCUGUAAUAUACCGAACUUCUAAUUUAUGAAGUUACGAUGUAUGUUAGCUUAGAAAGCCAUUGGAAUCAUUCCGGCGAAGUUCGGAAGCAUUCGGGUGCUUCGGUGCGCAUAGGGCGCGAAAACGGAACCCGGAAGGCUAUGUUGGACCGUUGACUAAAUCCGGCAUUAGCGUGGAUGAAAAGAUGAUGAAAACAUGUUUGAAAACAUGUUUGGAGAGUCUCGGUUCGAUUUGAAAAGAAACGGAGGUCAAACGAGUGAAAACGAGCGAAAACGGAGUGAAAAAGGAUAAAGGCUGAAAAUGCUGAAAAUUUGGCUAAGUCUGGAAUUCUGGCCUUUCGGGGACCGGUCUCUCACCGCAAGGACCGGUCUCAGAACCCCGAAAAUGCCCAGUUUGGGCUGUUGCGAGGGAAGCAUUGUGGAGGGGCUUAAGUGCAAAAUGGCACUUAUGAGAGUGUAUAGAGAGGAUCCUUUCUCUCUUUNNNNNNNNNNNNNNNNNNNNNNNNNNNNNNNNNNNNNNNNNNNNNNNNNNNNNNNNNNNNNNNNNNNNNNNNNNNNNNNNNNNNNNNNNNNNNNNNNNNNNNNNNNNNNNNNNNNNNNNNNNNNNNNNNNNNNNNNNNNNNNNNNNNNNNNNNNNNNNNNNNNNNNNNNNNNNNNNNNNNNNNNNNNNNNNNNNNNNNNNNNNNNNNNNNNNNNNNNNNNNNNNNNNNNNNNNNNNNNNNNNNNNNNNNNNNNNNNNNNNNNNNNNNNNNNNNNNNNNNNNNNNNNNNNNNNNNNNNNNNNNNNNNNNNNNNNNNNNNNNNNNNNNNNNNNNNNNNNNNNNNNNNNNNNNNNNNNNNNNNNNNNNNNNNNNNNNNNNNNNNNNNNNNNNNNNNNNNNNNNNNNNNNNNNNNNNNNNNNNNNNNNNNNNNNNNNNNNNNNNNNNNNNNNNNNNNNNNNNNNNNNNNNNNNNNNNNNNNNNNNNNNNNNNNNNNNNNNNNNNNNNNNNNNNNNNNNNNNNNNNNNNNNNNNNNNNNNNNNNNNNNNNNNNNNNNNNNNNNNNNNNNNNNNNNNNNNNNNNNNNNNNNNNNNNNNNNNNNNNNNNNNNNNNNNNNNNNNNNNNNNNNNNNNNNNNNNNNNNNNNNNNNNNNNNNNNNNNNNNNNNNNNNNNNNNNNNNNNNNNNNNNNNNNNNNNNNNNNNNNNNNNNNNNNNNNNNNNNNNNNNNNNNNNNNNNNNNNNNNNNNNNNNNNNNNNNNNNNNNNNNNNNNNNNNNNNNNNNNNNNNNNNNNNNNNNNNNNNNNNNNNNNNNNNNNNNNNNNNNNNNNNNNNNNNNNNNNCUGUUUCUCUACUAUAUAGAGGUUCAAAAUUAUCACACCAAAAACGUAGGCAUGUUAAGCAUCCUAAAUUCACGAUAAUGUAUCUAGCCAGGAAUGAAGAAUAAUCAUUUUAUAAAAGUAUUAAACCAAGAAUUCGAGAAUUUCUCAUAAAUAGGCUAGGUCAACCCACCAAAAAUCGAAAAUUCGUUUCGGCCGAACUGGAGGUUUUCUACAAGCUUCCUAACCAGCUAGAACAUCAAAUGGGUCACCCAACGAAACGAAGAGCAAAAUAGCUAAACAUUACCUGGACAGCAAAAGGCCAAAACUCACCUCACAAGCAGAAAAUCCUUCUAAGCUUUCAAAGGGAGUCUAGAAUCCUUCAAUCGAGCCCAAGGAAGGUUCUAACCCAAGAAAUUUACUCCAAAGGCUAGAUUCAAAAUGCCGCAAAAUAACCCUAAAGUCUCUCUAGGGUUUAUCUAUAAAAACGCUCAAAAGCCAUCUAGAGGGAGAGAAGUGUUGUACUCACUUAGAAGCUUUACCAAUCAAGCUCAAAAGUCUCCAACUUCAAAGAUCUUCCCUCAAUCAGGCUCAAGACCAAGCUCCAAGCCUUCAACCAUGGUGGAGAAGCCACCAAAAUGCAAAAGAGAGGAAUCAAACCUUAAAUCCCAAGUAAAAAGGGAUAUAAGAACCAAAGAGAAGAAGAUGAGGGAUGCCCUACCUUGUUCUCCACGGUUCCCAGCUCAGGGGAGGCUCUAAGGGAUAUGGGAGAUGAUAUAAGAAGGCCACAAAUGCAAAAACACCCCUGCAGUUUCGAACUGUGCGAAGUCUGCCGCCUUGUACCGGUACACGGGCCCUUGUACCGGUACAAGGUCCACGAAAUCCAAACCCGAGGCUCGAGUUGCUGGGCUCUACUGCUCUGUACCGGUACAAGCUCCGAUGGCUAUACCGGUACAACCAUCAACCUUGUACCGGUACAAGCACAACCUUGUACCGGUACAAGCCCGCCAGAACUCAAUCCGAGAGUCAGCCAAAUCCCGUUUUUUCGGGUUUUGGUGCAAGGCUUUGUACCACAAAUCUCAGGACACAUGCCAUAGGUCGCAACACAGUCAACGACCCACCAGAAAAUCUGGAAAAGUUCAGAACACAGCCAAUCACUCGAAUCUCGCAAUUUGCAAAGGUCCAGUGUGUUACACAACAUUUGGAGCUUUUGAACUUUUAUUAGACUUGUACCCUUAUGUGUAACUUGUAGAGUAUCCCAAAUCUCUUUGGCGGUUUCAAACACUGAAACACAAAAAAAUUUCGUUUGAGACAACGCAUUAAAUAAAGCAUUUAUUCCCUUUCUAUUGAACGAAGAUAACUCGUUUUCGUCUUUCGUCCAUUUAUUUCUAGGUUUAGGGACGGUUGCAUUAUCGACGACUUCGGUGGGAUACUUCGAGUAGAAUUUAAUUGAUUGCCACACCCGCUCAUCGAUGACAAUAAGAAAAGCUCUCAUGCAAACUUUCCAAUAAGCAUAGUUUGUGCCAUCGAAGAGUGGUGAUCGAUUAAUGUUACCGCCUUCACCCAUUGUGAUAGUUAAAAAUCUAGAUCCCACUCUGAUACCACUUGUAAGUUAUGGGAACCCUAGGAUCUAUCUAGAUAAUAUCUGUAAUAUACCGAAACCUCGCUAGAGAAUAUUGGACUUUAGCCAAAUUGACUAAAGCAUCCGACAGAAAAAGCUAGACAAAAUCGAAUUAAUAUUCCAACAAUAUUGGAAGGGUUAAAAAUGAGUUCUAAAAGAGUUAGAAAGGUUUAGCAUUACUCGGCGCGAAAAGAAGCUGAACAAGUGCUAAAACUACAAUCUGGGCAUUAGGUACCGGUACAACAUCGAGGUGGUACCGGUACUGCAUUAUAAACCGAGAGAAGCAGCUCUCGAGUUUGCCUCUGCGUAACCUUGUAACCAGUGACAAAAUUGUCCCAUACCAAUACUGUAAUAUACCGAAUAUUCGGAAAAUAAAAGUCGAACUUUAGUCAAAUUGACCAAAGUACGAGGAUGGAAUACUUCGGAAAGUCCGAAGGUGUUAAAAUGAGUAAAAGUGAGUUGUGGAAGGUUUUCGAGAGCCAAAGAAUCAAAUUCUACAAAACUGCAGAAUUUGAGCUCUCGGGGACCGGUCCCUGGUGGGAGAGACCGGUCCCCGAACGCGUAUGAAAUGAGACAGCCGAAAAAUCGGCUAAGUCCUGGAAGAUCAGCUCUCGGGAACCGGUCUCUGCCUNGUAAAUGUAAUGUAAGAAAGAAAUGAUGAAAUGAUGUAAUGAAUGUAAGAAUUCGAUAAAUUACUAGAUGGAUGCAAUGUAUAUGAUCUAAAAUGAAUCAUAUUACUUGUGAAUGUUUAGUUUCCUUUUUCUUUCACUUAUGGCUAUUGCUUACACUCGUGUAAGCCGUUUGUGUAUGUUUCCGCUAGUGCUUUUCUCUAUUGAUGAAAAUGUACGUGUGAUGAGCCUUGGGCGGAUAGGGAAAACUCUGUCCGUUCGGCGUCUGUUUGACGUGCUCGGGUCGGGCCAAAUUGGCAUCGGUCCCGGGGCGUGACAAAUACCAAGUGUAAAUACCCGAGCAGCAGCUCUCGGGUUUGGCUGUUAUGAAAUCGUGUAACUGAUGACAACCCAGCCCGUACCGGUACCAAGUGGACCUCGCAGCAAAAUAAAAACUGCUGCAAAUACAAGUGUUUGGGGGACCUUUUUGCUACUGUAGCACCUUAUAAAUGACCCCAACACCCCCUCCCACCUGGUUUACACAGCAAACUCCUCUCUCUCUCUCUCAUUUCUCUCUUUCUCUCUCUAGAGAUCAUUUCCUAGAGCAAGGAGGUGAAGGAGGAGAAGGCUUUGGAUGAGAUGAUUUGAAUGUUUGGGUCUCUCCUACAAGGUGGACUUGGGAGAGCUUAGGGCAAAGGUAAGGUUUUCUUGUGUAAGGUUUUCUUGUAAGAUCUAGGGCUUGGGUUUUAUGCCCUACAUCUUUGGAUUUGAGCUUCUUACAAGAGUAGAAACCUUCUAGAGGCUAUAGAACACAUGAAAAUAAGGUUUCUUCAUAUGCUCUCAUGGUGGAUCUCUAGGGCUUGGUUUGUUUGCCCUAGAAAUGAUUAGAAAAGCUUAGAAAAUGUUCUAAGAGGUUCAACAAGCUUUCUUUUGCUUGUUCUAGAGAUCUCAAACCCGAAGAUUGAGCAAAUGGCAUUGUUAGGGCACCGAAAUUAGGGCUUUUGCCCUAGAGUGGUUUAAAGGCAAAUUGACCUCAUAGAAACCUAAUUAGGGGUAUUUCUAACUAGAAUAUGAACUCGGUUCGGUGAUCCGACGAGUGUACGCCAAGAAAUUGACGAAAAGAUCGAUUUUGGUAUAGAUAGCCGCAGCACGCGGAAUAGACGCCCAAAAAUUCCAAGAAUUGAACCGUAGCACCUUUGCAACCAUACAAGGUAGGUGGUGCUUACCAAACUCUUUGAAAUUCCUUGUAUGUCUAAUGUGUCACUUAUUGAGCAUAUGUAUAUGUAUUGUUGCAUGCAUUGUAGGGUGAUUGAGAUUGUAUUUAUAUGAAUUGUUGCAUGUUGUGAGUACAAAUGUAUUAUGAAAUGGUUGAGAAUCUAUGAACCCUAUGUAUGCAUGAUUGGUGAUGAAAACCUAGAUGAGGUAAAGAACAAUGUGAUACUAUGACAAGUAGAUCGAGUGGCAUUAGUAAAUGCAAUGAAACACUAGAGUUAGUGUAUGGCAUUAAUGAGUCAAAAUUUACUAGUGUACAAUUGUGGCACUAAAUGAAUAUAUUGAAUGAUAGAGCAUGAACCACUAGAGUUAGUGUGUGUGGCAUUAUUGAGAAUUGAAUGCUAGAGAAUUGAGAAUAAAGAACUCGUGGUGUAAUGACACUAACGAAAGUAGAGAAUGCAAGUGCAUGUGAGAGUUGGCAUUAUGACAUCAACCUUAUAGUUAAGGGUCAUAUGAGCAUUGCUACCUUAUAGUUAAGGAAUGGAUUGAACUUGAAAUCUUUAUAGUUAAGGAUCGGAUCAUCCUCGCCUUACGCCUUGGCUCGGAAGGCGGUAGCUCCCCCUCGAGCGAUGAGCUCCAGAAUAGUCAUCACUGGGUCGUAGUAGUUCUCCCCAGAGGACGGUCCCGUACGGGUUGUAGGAGUUUCUCCCCGAUACUUGGGAUUAUGAGUUGGUGAGUCUAUUGACGCGAAACCUACGGGUAAGCCUAGAGAUUGGGAAUUGGAAAGUGACCUUGCAUUCAUCAUGAGCAUUCUUGUUGAGCAUUCUUAUUGAUCUCAUUGUUCAGGCAUAUUAGCUGCAUUUAUAUAGUUGGUUACCUAUCUAUCUGCUUAUUUCUUCUAUUAUGCCUGAGUUAGACCUAGUGGGAAGGUCGGCGAGAUUGGUGGCCAACUCACUGGGAACUUUGUUGUAAUUCUCACCCCACUAUUUCCACAGAGCCGAGACCGAGCGAGCCGGCGGACGACCACGGUAAAGGUAUCGCGCCAUAGCUAGAGACCACCCGAGUUGGUUUCAUUUUGGGUUUAGUUGCAUUACCCCUUUUAUACCAUCUUUUGUAUUUUGAUGGUUAUAGAUGUUUAAAGAAAAGAAUAUGAAUGAUGUAAAAGAAUUUAUAUUUGAAUGCAAAAGCUUUAUUUUGGAGAAUAUGUGAUGUAAAAAGAGAUGAUGUAAAGAAUGUAAAGGAAUUAUAUUAAAGAUGUAUGCAUGUAUGUGAUUUACAAUUAAUCAUAUUACUUGUAUGUUGAUUAGUUAAUACUUUCACAUUGGCUAUUGCUUGCCCUCGUGCAAGUCAUUAUGUUUGCUUCUGCAUGUGCAAAUUUUAUACUCUAUUUGUACUUGCUGUUGAGCCUUGGGCGGACAGGAGAGGCUCUGUCCAUUCGGCAUCUGUUCGACGUACUCGAACCGACCAAAUAGGACCGGGCUUGGGGCGUGACAAUAUCACACCUAGAGGAGGGGUGAAUAGGUGUAUAGCCCAAAAUCGUAAAUCUCAAUGCAAUAAAAAUAAAUGCGAAAAAUAAAAAUAGCACACCGAGAUUUACGUGGGAAAACUCCAAUUUGAAGAAAAACCCACGGGACCAACACGCGAAAAAAUAAUCCACUAAGAGAAAAGAUUAUAAGGUGAUUACCGACUCCACGGACUCUACCUCUCUUAACCUCCUAUAGAUCUCGUGCAAGCCUCCGGGUUGUCCACUCCCUCACGUUCGAAUCCACGAACGCCACGCACACAUCCGAAUCCACGGAUGCCACUCGAAUCCACGAGCUCACGAUCCGAAUCUUCGAACCGCCUUCGAUCACGCCGAAUCCACGACGCCGCACAUGAAGAGUAUCAUGCAUGUUUAUGGUGAUCCUUGGCUUAGAGAGUCGUUGAAGAACCAGAAAUAAGAACUCUCUGCAAAGUUUAGAUCAAUUCGACAUAUAGAUAUAGAAUUCAAUAUCUCGAAUUGAACUAAAAGAGGCCAAUUUGUGAAAAAUAGGUUUAGAACGAAAACCUAGCCUCUAGGGUUACUCUAUCAUGUAAUCUCGUGCUUCAUACUGAUUAGAGUAUAGCUUAUUUAUAGACUUUAGAAUCAAUUAGAGCUGAAUUAGAAGCUAUACAAGAAAAUUUUAUAUUGAGUACCGGUACUCGGAAAGUUGGUACCGGUACACCACGACGGAACAGAAAUUUUCUCAGGCUGAGUACCGGUACCAGGCCGAUGCAGUACCGGUACGCGGCCGAUGCAGUACCAGUACGCGGCCGAUGCAGUACCGAUACUCGGCUUUGGUACCGGUAGGCAAUACAAUUCGAAGAAUUGCAUCUCUCGAGUUUUGAGGUACCAAUGUGGGGUACCGGUAUUCUGUUUUGAAACUUAGUUUUUCAAUAUAGUUUUUGAGGAGCUGAAAACAGGUACUGGUACACAAUAUCAAAUAUUGUUCUAAUCAAUUCAAAAGUACCAAAACCCACUUCUAAUCCUUUAAACAUUGAUUUAUAUGAUUCUACUAUCAUAAAUAAGUAUGAAUCACCAUAACAUGAUUUAAAACCUUACCUGAGCCUCGUGAUCCAAGCAAUGAGAUGUUUCUGAGUUCUCGAAAUCUUGGAUUCUUCGAUCUUCAACAAUCACGCACCGAACCCUUCAAGACUCCGACUCAAAUCAUGAAACUUGCCAAUACUAAAUCCCUAAUACUUCCAAUGGAAAAGCCUCAAAAAUAAACCCUAGUUUUAUCAUGACCAAUUUUUCUACAAAAAUUUUUGCAAAUCUCACAAAUAGAGGAUGCAAGAAUGCUACUAACCUCAAUUUAGACUCCAAUGCAAGCUAUAAAAUGCUAGGGUUGAUGUUCAAGCCUCAAAUGUAAUAAUACCGAACUUCUACAAUUGUGGAGUUCUAGUGGAAUAGCUUAAAAGGCUAUUAAAUAGUUCUGGCGAAGUUUUGGGAGUUAUUCGGGUGUUUCCGGAUGAAUGAGGUUCCGGAUGCCCGAUUGUGAUUCCGAGCGCCCGAAAUGUAUUCCGAACUUAGGGGCAUUUAGUGAUUGUUUGAGGGCUUUUCUGCAAUUGUCAUAGGCCGAUAAAUGGGCGAACCAUCCUCCACACCUCCUUCAUUCCUUAUCUGAGAAGAAUCUUUUUUUCUCUUAUUUCCUCUCCCUUUUCUUUUCUCUCCCUUUUCUCCUCCUACUUAAGUUAGGGCCCAGCUUAGGAGGGACCAGAAGCAACGUUUUUAAGUACCCGUCGGCACGGGCCGUAUCAACCGUGUCAUACCGUACCAACAAGUUACCGGCACGAUACAAACCCCGUGCCGAUGGCACAACUCAAAACCCUAUAUUCUUUAAAUUAGUAAGUAAUUUUCUCAAUAAAGUUCAAAAAAUAUAAUAAAAAGACAUAAUAAAUAAUUAAAAUAUUUUGUUGCUAAAGAAAAUACAUAUUUCAUGAUAUUAUGUGUCAGCAGAUAAAAUUUUUUUUGAUUAGCACGCAUCGGUACAACUCGGCACGCACCGUGCCAUAUCGUACCGGCAAGUUUCCAGCACGACCCUGUACCACGGCACUUAAAUCUUUGACCAGAAGUUUAACUUUCUUCUGUUGAUGAUCCCUAAUUCAAGCGUAGUAGAGGGUAGUGCAAGCAUAGCGGAGGAUAGCUACUGUAGAGUGAGGACAGCCUUGGAUAACUAUUCUUCCAUCUUGUAUUGGAUUAGAGGAAGAAUGUAACAGAUGGGUUUAAAGAAAAUUAAAGUGGGACUUUGAUUGAUUAUGAUAUAAUAGUGGGAGAAGUUUUGACUCAUCAGAUAUAAAAUAUACACUAGCAUGAACCCGCUGUCAUACAGAAAGAUAUACUCUUGACAGGAAGAUUACUCGUCCACUUUUCUUGUUAUGCAUAUAUGCCCGGCCAGCUUGCAUAGGAUGCCAACACUUCAAUAGACGAAAUGGCAUCAAAAGAAAAAUAAAUAACACCCAUUACUAUAGAACUUCGCAAGAUUAAAAAUACAAAAUAAACCACAACAGUCCAUCCAAUCUGCAAAUAUACCAUGAUAAUAUGUAAUUCAGCACUACGGUACUUCAGCAGACAUUAGUCCUGACACAAAUUUUUGGAACUUCUAGUAGUGUACUUUAUUUGUUCGACUCAAAACUCAAAGGUAGUCAUUACAAUCUAGCAUUGGUAAUAAUUAGAUGUUAGAAGCGAGGUAAGGAGACAAUUUACUGACAACCUUUCACUUAAAAAACCUUGAUUUAUGAUCAUGAAAGGCAAUCGAAAUGCAACACUACUUUAACAAGAUACAAUUGCGAUACAACAAACAAAAGCAUAUCGUCAACUUAGUACGGAUGGUAUCGCCGUCCUCGGCUCCCAUCAAUGCCCCUACUACCUCCACUGUCACCCGAGCCACCCCUCCGGUCACCUCUUCGAGGGGGCGGUGGUGGAGCCUGCGCACCAGGCUGCUGCCUAAAAUAAUUCAAAAUUUCAGAUUCAAAAUUCAAAGUUCACGAGAACAAGGUACUAGUAGAAGUAUUCAGGGCUCAUCUGGACCAUCUAGAGUUUCAGUAGAAGUGUUGUUAUUAUAUUGUUUGUUCUAGGAACAGCUAACAGCUUUCUCAUUAAAUUUCUAAGCAGCUUUGUUGCCGUAAGAAUCAAAAGCCUGAAAUUCAAGUUUCAUUUUAGCUUCCCACAAAAGCAAAAGCAGUUGAUUUUUUUUUUAAGUCAAACUGCUGGCCUCUAAAAUCUUUUGCUUUCUAGAGUAAAGAAGCUGUCAGGAAGACAAUGAAAGACAGACAGUUAAUCGGCACAUAAAAAGUAAAAGCUGGAUGACAUCUUCU